This 57445-nucleotide long non-coding RNA is filed under the name Triticum aestivum (bread wheat). RNAcentral describes it as "long non-coding RNA (TAES_LNC000535)". The stretch from base 55977 to 56049 matches the Rfam family "tRNA". Lineage: Eukaryota; Viridiplantae; Streptophyta; Magnoliopsida; Poales; Poaceae. The record is from RNAcentral.
UAUUUUCCACGUGAGUCUAGGGUGUCGUUUAUCCUUUAUGAUAAUCCAUUUACUAUCCCACUGGAGAAUUUUGCUUACCAUUGCAAACUUCCAUUUUGGGGUUCGCUUGAUGAGCCUCCAAUGGUUGAGUACGAGUCUUUCUUGACUAGCCUUUGUUACGGUGAAAAUAGGGGAGUGAGACAAGGAAGAAUAAAGAGCAUUCACUUUCCCGCAAUUCAGUAUUUUGCAUUAUUUAACGGGAAGUGCAUAGUAGGCAAGCAAGACUGUAGCAUACUUUGUGCGCCAGACUUGAGCCUCAUUCACACCGCUCUCACUGGUGAAAGGAAUUUAACCUUGGAGCGAUUGUUGCACAUAGACUUCAACACAAUGCUAACAAUGGUUGGUUCUAUGGUGGAAUUUAUGCCAUGCAUUUAGCACGAGAGCUGGGUGCUUCGCCUUUGCCCUUUGAUCCUAUCCUACCCACGCGGUAUUUAGAUUUUGACACUUUGAAGGAACACAAGAUCCUUAAGGGAAAGGUUGAUAAUUUCACUUACAAUCUAAUGUUUAACCAAAGAUCUAUUGUGGAGACAUAGUUGCCUGCGCCUGCUCUUUUUGAUUAUAACAGCAAGGGAAGAUAUUUUGUUCUUGAGAGCAAGGCCCGAGCUCAUAACGCAGCAGUGGUGGCGGCACGGCGUGCUGAGCCAUCCACAGAGAGCCUUCGUGAGCUACCACGCCAACUACUACCCUCCAGGCUACUGUCCGAUUAUCAAGUUAGGCCAAAAGCCUAAGCUUGGGGGAGUACGUGUUUCUCACCGACUUUACAUUCAUGUUCAUAUCAUUCUACUUGUCGGUGUUCACACUUUUUCAUUGUAUCAUCCAUGCUUAGAUUUAUUUUCUUGCUUUCUUCUUGUGUGUUUGAAAAACUUUAGAAAAACCAAAAAAAUUAGUUGUACUUAAUUUACUUCCUAUGCAUGCUUAGUAGUAAUAUUAAAAAGAAAACCCAAAAAGAUUUCCUUGUUCUUCUUUUGCUUGUUGGGAGCUUUCCCGUGUAAAUAUUUUUUUCUCAUUUUUUGCUUUUCCCUUUUAUUUGCUUGUUAAAGAAAACCAAAAACUCCAAAAAUAUCUCAGUGUGUUUCUCUGAAUUUCUUUUCUUUUUAUUCGAGUUGUACCGAGGAGAAGACCACGAUGAAAAUGUUGAGUGGCUCUCAUAUGAAUAAUUGUUGAACUAAUAAAGAGCACAUUUUACCUUGUCUUCUGUUAAAUAAAAUGUUUGCAGAUUCCAGCUUAGUCCACGGCAUUCUUGCACUAUUAUUAUUUUCAUAUCGUUCGGUCGUGCAAGUGAAAGGCAAUAAUGACGACAUUCGAUGAACUGGCCGUGGCAAAGACAAACUGGUAUGAACUCGACUUGUUCUGUUUGUGUAAAUAUGUUUAACCUAGUAUCCAGGCUUCAGCCCAUUAUGAUUAAACAUGUUUGCAAUGACAAUUUGAUUAUAGUUUCUCAUGCCAUGCAUAAGUAGCUGGGAGUUGAUAAUGAUUUAUCUUGGAUAUCAACAUAGCGUUAAAAUGAUUGUGAUGUCGUAUGAUGAUAUGGUAUCCUCCUCUGAAUGUUCAAGUGGUGUCGUGGUUUUAUCACGGCAGAUGUCCUCGUGAAAGGACUUAGUCGUGGAGCCAUCGCUACGGAUUAGCUUAAAGGGGUUAAACCGGACAAGGGAUACGAGAGUUUUAUACUAGUUCGGCCCCUUACGAUGAAGGUAAAAGCCUACGUCUAGUUGUGAUGGAAUUGCUGGGGUUUCGUUGAUCAGGGAGCGAAUACACUUUGCCUGAGUCUCGAGUUGUUGUCUGUUCUCCUUGAACCGCCGUCGGGUCGUCCCCUUAUAUACAUGGGUUGACGCCCUUCGGUUUACAGAAUCCCGAGGCCGGCUCAUAAACGUGUCCGGCUCGGCCUCUGCUCUUUUCUAUCUUACAACACAAGUUUACAUAUUAAUGUCGGUUUAUGUCUACAGGCCUUAAACCGGCUUUAUGCCCUGGGCCUUCAUAAAGCGUCACCGUCUGUCUUCAUGGGCUUCGGAUAUAACGAACUACUUACGGGGUUAACCCAGCCUCUCCUGGCCGGUUUACACCCAGUGGUAAUAUCCCCAACAUUAGGCCCUAGAUUGAUUUGAACUGGUUCAUGUCAAUCCUCAAUACUUAAGAAAAUUUCUUCUUCAACAUCUUCACAUAAUCUUGUAAACCGUCGUGACGUCACCUUCCAGGACCAUGAUAAACCGCCAUGACGUCAUCUGUUGUUUAAAACUGUAUAUAACCCAUCCUCAUUAAUGAGCCUCCGACAAUCGAGGCGAUAGUUCCGCCUCAUAUCCAAAUUUUGGGCUCCUCGAUUUUCGUGCCUGACGCUUAUCUUUUUGCCUUUAUAAAUAGGGCCAGGGGGUCUUUCCAUUCCCCCCCCCCCGCCCCGGUAUCUCUUCACCUCAUCUUCUUCCUUGCACAGCCCGACCUUUGGAGCUCCGCCGCCACCGUUGAACUUCGUUUCUGCCUCCGCGACGGCCGCUGCAUCAACCUGUCUGGACCAGAAAAGUGCGGCGCUCUUCCGCUGUUCCCUCAUCAUCAGUGAGUUCUUCUUUCCUUUGCUCCAGAUCCAUCAUUAGGGUUUCUAUGUUCAUCGGAGUCUAUCCAAUGCCCGCCAUUGUUCUUUCCUGUUCUUUUCAUUAGCAUAAACAGCUAGCUGGAUCCGAUAUUUCUUACGCGGCCGUAGCCAUAAUCCCCUUUUCGUUAGAUCUGUUCCUUUACACAAAAUUCAUCUGAACCUUGCUGAACUGUUCAAACUCUUGAAAUUAGGUAUGAAUUUAUUUUGAUUUUCCAACGCACGGUAGAUCUGAAAUUACCAUGCCAAACUGUGAAACUUGUUUUUCCUUCACUUAUACAUCUUUAGACUUAUACCAGAUUAGGCGGUUUAACUUCAUAGAAAAAAUGAUGACCCAGUAGAUACCAUUAGUCCCCUGUUGAACCGCCAAUGCACUUAUCAUUGUACUGUCUCCAUCUUCGGACUCUGGUUCACAAAUAACCAACUCCGGUUUAACAAUAUGCUAUAAAUCUUAAACCGGCAAUAAUCAUGUUUCAGAUCUCUCAUUGCCAUGGCCAAGCAAGUCUAUGAAUCCAAUUGGGCUCCUUCUCGAGUAACCGAAGAACAGUUAAACAAUCUUGUUAAAACGGGCGCUUUAGCCAAGAGAGAUGUCAUCCACUGGAGGGUCCCUGGCCCGGAAAAUCCUCCUAUACCCAAGGAUGGGGAGGUAGUUGUGUUUGUUGAUCACUUGAGUCGAGGUUUUAGCCCUCCCGGUUCAAAAACUUUCCGGGAUGUACUGGCCAAUUUUCAACUGCGCCCUCAAGACAUCGGUCCAAAUUCUGUGACCAACAUCUGCCACUUCCAAGUCUUCUGUGAGGCCUAUCUAUAGGAGGAACCUACAGUCGUAUUGUUUAGGGACUUCUUUCACUUAAACCGUCGCACAGAAUUCACAGAUGGACCCAAUACGGAAUUGGGUGGAAUGGCGGUUCAGAAAAGGAAGGAAGUUACUUUUCCUCAUCCCAAGCUCCACAGUCACCCCAAAGAGUGGAACCAGACCUGGUUUUAUUGCAAGGAUACAUCUCCAGCUGAUGAAAAUCCCCUGCCGGGUUACCACCCUGAACGCCUUAGCAACACACACCCUUUUCCUCAGAGGCUGACUGCAAAAGAGAGGGCCAACUAUGAUCCUCAACUAUCAAAGAUUAGAGCCUUCAUGGUGAACGGUUUGACAGGAGUUGAUCUUGCUCGUUGCUGGAUAAGCUGGAGUAUUCUGCCCUUAAGCCGGCGCUCCGGUUUGAUGUGUGAGUACACGGGGAGUUUGAAGGAUGCUCAACGACACAUUGACAUUCAACUUACAGAUGCGGAAGUUACUGAGGCUGUAAAGAAGAUGCUGAAUGAACCGGAGGCUGUCUGUGCCCAAACCGGACUGCUCCCUUUCUGUACCUUCCACAAACCGCCAGCUGUAAGAAUCAUAUAAUCUUUUUAUCCGAAGUUGCUUCUGUCCAAAUAUUUUCUGAAUUUGUGAUUAUCUUCUGACAGGGUAAUGAUCUGUUCUGGAACAAGAAACCACAAGAAAAACCGGCAAAACCGCAAGACAAACCGGCCAAGCCACUUCGCCCAAAGACCAAGGUUGUUAAGAAACCUGGCAAGAAAAGGACCACUACAUCCUCCGAGCUACCAGCUGAUGACGAUGUGGGUAACCCGGAAUCAGAGGUAGAACUUGACUCUCUUGGUUCAUUUUUCGUACACCUCAUUGACAAUGAUUAUUAUCAGGACGACGCUGAAGGCAGUCACGCUGAUGAUGUAGAGGUAACCAUUCUUUCCUCUGAUUCAGAUCCUCUGCCAACAUCAAAAAUCCGUCGAGCAAACCGGAAAAUAAAAUUUUCUCACCCCCAUGCUUACUUGGACCCAAACUUUCUUUUGAAGACACAGCAGCACGAGGCUCGCUGCACAACCCGGCACAGUGGCAAGGUAGUUACCUCCGCCGGUUUACCGAACAGCCCGGUUCGGAAACGCCGAUCAGAGGUCUCUUAUCCCCUUGACACUUCAUGCCCCAAAGCAGGUUGUUUCCGCCAGCCUCUUAACCCAUCUGAUUCAAAUUAUCAGGGCACUUCUCACUCAUCUUCUGGCGAGUCGUCGGCCACAAAACUUCCACCCCUCAAAACAGUUCUUGGGUGAGCUAUAUACUUGUUUUUAUCCUUGAUAUGUUAUUUUGAUAUACUGUACUGAUCCUCAUGUUUAUUUUUCUCAGCGCCAAGCCCAGACCCAGCAAGAAGGCUCGGUUGAAUAAACCGGCUAAUGAUGACGUGGCUAUUGAACCGGAAAAAACUCCAGAUCCUAAAGAAACCAACGUUGAUGCCAUACUGAAUGACCCACCGCCUCAAGAUCAUGACUUUGUUGCUGAGCAGAUAGAAGUUGACACUGCAAGCCAUGCUGACCAGCCAACCAGCCCUGUCCGAACUGAUGAUAAACCGGCCAGUCCAGUUAAAAAUACGGACAAACCGCCAACCCCAGUGACGGCUGCUGAUGACAAAGAUGAUGAUAUUAUGAUUACUGGCACUGGCCAUACCACUCCUGGCAAUCCUGUCGCUUUGUCAAAGCAUACUGCCAAAGACGAGCUUUCUGCAAUUGGCAAAGGCAAAUGGAAUGCCGAUUUGUCAAAUUAUGCCCAUCUUAAUGCUCAAGACCUUCACUCCGGCUUCCUGAACCGUCUGUACACCAGCCGUGACUAGGAAGCCGGUUUGGUAAAUUUGAUGAAGGAGCGAUAUGAGGUAACUUCAUAAGUGUUUCUCUCUUAUAUUUAAUUGCAGCUUAUCAACUCCAGUAGCCCCCAAGUGACGUUUAAGAUGCCAAUCUAAACCGGGACUUAGUAACAAUUUCAUGUUUGCAACAAUGCAUCUUAACUUCACUGAUGUAGCCCCCAAAGGCCGGUUUAACUUUAUAAAGAUGAACCGGGACUUUGUAGAAGAAUUCCCAUAUCAGUAAUUUAUGAGCAAAUACACAUUAGCCCCCAAGUGCCAAGCUUAAUACUUGUAUUGUGCUUGGGACUUGUGAAAAUUUCUGAUAAAGAGCAAAUAUGCAUUAGCCCCCAAGUACCAAGGGCAUAACUUGUUAUGUGCUUGGUACUUCAAAUAUGUAUUGUCAACUCAUUAUAUAUCUGUCUCUUUAUAGGCUAAAUUGAGCAAUAAGGAAAGCCAAACCGCUGAUCUGCAAGAGAACCUCAAGUCCCAGCAAGCCAAAACCUCCAAAGCCAAGGAAGAGUUGACCAGCGCUCUAGGCGCUAUGGAGAAACUGAAAGAUGGCUUCAACAAGGAGCGGGCGGAUUGGGAGACUGAAAAAUCCACUUUGAUAGAAAGGGCUGAAAACGCAGAAGCCGCUUUUAAACCGGUGGUUGAUGAACUGACCGGCGUAAAGCGGCAGAUUCAUGCCAUGACUGCUGCUAUGUUCGGUAAACAUCUUUUCCUUAAUACUUCCAACGUAUCUUCCCAUGUGUUGUCGGUUUACUGAUGUGUAUAAUGGUGCAGGAACUCGUAUUAGCCAUCUGGGCUCUAAUGUACAGAAGAAAUUGAAAGCGGCCUAUACUCUGAUAGAGCAGCUGUAUACCGGUGCGCAGCGGAUCAUCUAUACUACUUCACACAAUAAUCCUCCUCCCACUUUGAUCAAGGAUACCUUAGAAAGGUUAUCUAUGCUUCCUGCCCAGGUAGACGAGCUAAAAAAGUCUGCCGCAAGAACGGGCGCUUUGGCUGCACUAACCCAGGCAAAAGCAUGGGUACCUGACUUUGAUCCAGUGGAAGCGGCCCAAGGCUAUCCCAGUUUGAAGGAAGACGGAACAGAAUUUGGCAAUGAUGAUCUCCGAAUCAUAAACCGGGAAGUACGCCCAUUGGCUUGUCAACUGGUUGAAGAAGCAGAUCUCUCGUACUAUCAGGCGUGUCAUGAUGAUAAGAACAGACGGGUUGCUGCACCAAUUCCAGAAGCACAAAAUCUUAUCCCACCAAUCCGUAAGCACACUUAUGCCCCUGACAUUGAACCGUCCACGCUUAUAAGCGAUGAAGCUGUAUUCCAAGCCCUAACUAGGAUCGACUGGGCAACUGUUGACUUCCAGCCACUGGGUAGAGAGGAGGGAGUUGAACCGGCGCGAGAUGAUCCGCAGCCGUCAGGCCAAACUGGUGACCAAUCAUGAACCGGAGGCCGGUUUAGUCUUCCACAUGCUGCAACAUGUUUUGAGAAAACAAUUAUCCUUUUGGGCACGGAAAUGCCUUGUAAUAGGCUAGUAAAAAUACUUGGUCUAGUAUGCCUUCGUGCAUUUUUAUCUGCGGCUGAUGCUUGCUUAAUCCGACAUGCUUAAGAUAUGAUAUUCAAAAUCCAUAGCCAUUUAUUCAAGCUGUUCCUGCAGAUAAGAAGCUUAAAGCGCCCUGGCGUUUACCCCCGGGCGGGUCAUGAUACCCAAAUAUAUAUAUAUAUGACCAAGGUUGUAAAAGAUAACCAAAUAUGGAAAUAUAUAAUACCUGUGACCUUUAGGCAUAAUGUUGGCUGACCAACGUUGUAGUGAGGGUCAUAACCCUACUCUGGAGGAUAAGUAACUCCUGUUAUAUGAUGUCGGUUUACAAUAAAACCGUUCCGGGUUGUGAUAAACACCGGUUUAUUCCGUACUGGUGACUUUGAGUCAAAACCGGACCGGGCUGAUAGUCUCCGGAUUAUAAUUUGAUUGUGUACUGACAACUUGUAGUUGAUAGCCUAACCGGGUUGAUAAACACCGGUUUAAAAAACAUCACAAAUCUUAUGAAAACAAAGAAAACUUAGCAAAAGGCAAAUAAAAACCGUUGUAGUCGAGGCUUUUCACGGGCUGCCAGGCCCCAAAUUCGAGGCUUUUCAUGGGCUGCCAGGUCACUGAGUUAAAUCAUUUUUGCAAAGCCUUUUAAGAUGGUCCUCAAUCCUUAACCAAUCAUCGUUUUCACUUGAAAAGUUCAGGGUCUUCAUUUUAGAGUAACAUGUCAAAGUUCGAAGGGUCAUACCAGGUUUACCUGGGCGGAGUGACUUACUUAAAUAGCCAGGUUAACCUGGGGUUUUAGGUGUAUACACCAGGCUUCCAAGCCAUGGCUUGAUAGCCUAUUACAAGUGUAGAUUCUUAGUUCAUUUCGACAGCAAAGAAUCCCCAAGUAAUAUUUUGAGUUGUGCUCAGUGGGUGCCUAUGUUUGAGUUGUUGUUUUUCAACACUCUCUUUGGCCCCGGAUUGAUUUGGCUUUGAGCCGAUCAAGAGGUGUGACUAUGGUUCGGAUACGACCAAGCCCCCAAGUGAUGUUGUGGCAUUGCGCCGAUCAAGAGGUGUAGCUAUGGUUCGGAUACGACCAAGCCCCCAAGUGAUGUAAUAUAAAGCUUUGAGAAGCUAAAUCAAGGGGUAAACCGGGCGCCGCUUUAUAAACAGAAGCUCCAUGUAACCACACAUGAUGUAAGAAAACAACAGAUACCCCGCUUUAGCUGAGGUUCCGGUUUAUUAUAUUGAUCAUAAUAUAUACAUUGUCAUAAUAUGUACAUAAGCAGAGCCUAUGGCUCAAGUAUAGUAAGGCCGAAGAUGAGCAAUAUUCCACGGCCGGUUGGUCUCCUCCUCCGAUUUACGUGAGUCUUUGCGCUCUCGGACAUCGAUUAGGUAGUACGACCCAUUGUGUAGAUUCUUGCUGACCACAAAGGGUCCUUCCCAAGGGGGAUAGCUUGUGCAUAUCUGUCUGAUCCUGGAUGAGUCGAAGCACCAAAUCACCUUCUUGAAAGGUUCUGGUUCUAACCAGGCGGCUAUGAUAACGAUGCAGAUCUUGCUAAUAAAUUGCCGAACGGGCUGCCGCCAUGUCACGAUCCUCAUCUAACAGGUCAAGAGCUUCCUGCUGUGCCUUCUCGUUGUCAGCUUCAACAUAUGCCGCUACACGAGGUGAGUCAUGACGGAUGUCACUAGGAAGAACCACUUCUGCUCCAUAAACCAUGAAGAACAGUGUGUAUCUUGUUGAUCUGUUGGGUGUGGUAUUGAUGCUCCAUAACACAGAGGGUAACUCCUCAACCCAACAACUCGGCGUCCGUUGCAAAGGAACCAUAAGUCGGGGUUUGAUGCCUCUCAAGAUCUCUUGAUUGGCCCUCUCCGCUUGACCAUUGGACUGGGGGUGAGCCACUGAUGACACGUCAAGCCGGAUGUGCUCACGUUGACAGAACUCCUUCAUGGCACCCUUUGACAGAUUGGUACCAUUGUCUGUUAUAAUCCUGUGUGGAAAGCCAAACCGGAAGAUCACCUUUUUGAUGAAUUGAACCGCCGUGGCUGCAUCACACUUACUAACUGGCUCUACCUCCACCCACUUCGUGAACUUAUCAACCGCCACCAAAACGUGGGUCUUCUUGUCCUUGGACCUCUUGAAAGGCCCAACCAUAUCCAGCCCCCAAGUUGCAAACAGCCAGGUGAUUGGAAUCAUCCUCAAUUCUUGAGCCGGUACAUGAGCACGCCUUGAGAAUUUCUGACAGCCAUCACAUCUUUUGACCAAGUCCUCAGCAUCAGCAUGAGCUGUCAACCAAUAGAAACCAUGAUGAAAUGCCUUGGCCACCAAAGACUUUGAACCGGCGUGGUGACCACAAUCUCCUUCGUGGAUCUCACGCAAAAUUUCACGGCCUUCUUCAGGAGACACACAGCGUUGAAACGCCCCUGUCACACUGUAAUGAUGUAACUCUCCAUUGAUAAUAGUCAUGGACUUGGACCGCUGGAUUAUCUGCCUGGCCAAAGUCUCAUCCUCUGGUAACUCGCCCUGGUUCAUAUACGCCAGAUAUGGAACCGUCCAAUCCAGGAUAACAUGAAGAGCCGCCACCAACUGAGCCUCGAGAUCAGGAAUAGCCAAAUCCUCUUCACCAGGGAGCUUGACGGGCGGAUUAUGCAGAACAUCCAGGAAGAUAUUAGGUGGAACCGGUUUACGUUGGGAACCCAGGCGGCUUAAAGCGUCUACCGCUUCAUUCUUCCGCUGGUCCACAUGAUCCACCUGAUAACCUUUAAAGUGACCUGCAACAAUAUCCACCUCACGACGAUAUGCUGCCAUGAGUGGGUCCUUGGAAUCCCAAGUGCCAGACACUUGUUGCGCCACCAGAUCCGAGUCACCGAAGCACUUAACUCGGCUCAGGUUCAUCUCCUUAGCCAUCCGAAGACCAUGGAGCAAAGCCUCAUAUUCAGCUGCAUUGUUAGUGCAAGGGAACAUUAAACGGAGAACAUAACAAAACUUAUCACCUCGUGGGGAAGUUAAUACGACUCCAGCCCCCGAUCCCUCCAAUUGCCUGGACCCAUCAAAAUGAAUAGUCCAGUAAGUAUGAUCUGGCAUCUCUUCUGGCGCUUGUAGCUCUGUCCAAUCAUUGAUGAAAUCCACAAGUGCCUGAGAUUCGAUCGCCGUUCGGGGUAUGUAUUUCAACCCGUGAGGCCCGAGCUCGAUAGCCCACUUAGCAAUCCGGCCAGUUGCUUCCCUGUUCUGGAUUAUAUCCCCCAAAGGAGCAGAGCUGACCACCGUGAUGGGAUGACCUUGGAAAUACUGCUUAAGCUUCCGGCUUGCCAUGAAAACUCCAUACACCAAUUUCUGCCAAUGCGGGUACCUCUGCUUGGACUCAAUAAGUACCUCACUGAUAUAGUAAACCGGCCUCUGAACCGGAUAUUCCUUUCCGGCCUCCUUGCGCUCCACCACAAUAGCCACACUAACAGCCCGGGCGUUAGCUGCCACAUAUAGCAAUAAUGGCUCCUUGUCAACCGGAGCAGCGAGAACCAGCGGAUUAGCCAGCUGUCGCUUUAAGUCCUCAAACGCUUCAUUAGCGGCAUCACUCCAGACGAAGUUAUCCGUUUUCUUCAGCAUCUGAUACAAAGGAAUGGCCUUCUCGCCAAGGCGACUGAUAAACCGGCUCAACGCGGCAAUCCGGCCCGCCAGGCGUUGAACAUCAUUGAUACACUUCGGUUUGGCCAAGGAGGUGAUGGCUUUGAUCUUUUCGGGAUUAGCUUCAAUGCCCCUGUUAGACACCAAAAAGCCCAAGAGCUUGCCAGCAGGUACACCAAAGACGCACUUGGCCGGAUUAAGCAUCAUUUUGUAAACCCGCAGGUUAUUGAAGGUUUCCCUCAAGUCAUCAAUCAACGUCUCCUUCUUCCUUGAUUUCACCACAAUAUCAUCCACAUAGGCGUGAACAUUGCGGCCGGACUGUUUAUGAAGACAAUUCUGCACACACCGUUGAUAAGUCGCCUGGGCACUCUUGAGCCCAAAGGGCAUGGACACAUAGCAGAAGGCUCCAAAGGGAGUUAUGAAGGCCGUCUUCUCCUGGUCCUUAACUGCCAUUUUGAUCUGAUGAUAACCAGAAUAUGCAUCCAAAAAGCUUAAACGCUCGCAACCCGCCGUAGUAUCAAUAAUUUGAUCAAUACGGGGGAGGGCAAAAGGAUCUGCUGGACAAGCUUUGUUGAGAUCUGUGUAGUCCACACACAUACGCCAAGUGCCGUUCUUCUUAAGGACCAGCACCGGAUUAGCCAACCACUCAGGAUGGAAUACUUCAACGAUAAAUCCAGCCGCCAAGAGCCUGGCUACUUCUUCUCCAAUAGCCUUACGUCUUUCUUCAUUGAACCGGCGGAGAAACUGCUUGACCGGUUUAUACUUGGGAUCAACAUUGAGAGUGUGCUCAGCGAGUUCUCUCGGUACACCUGGCAUGUCAGAAGGCUUCCACGCAAAGAUGUCCCGAUUCUCACGGAUGAACUCGAUGAGCGCGCUCUCCUAUUUCGAAUCCAAGUUAGCGUUGAUGCUAAACUGCUUGGACGAAUUGCCAGGCACGAAGUCAACAAGCUUAGUCUCAUCAGCCGAUUUAAACUUCAGGGCCGGAUCAUGCUCUGUAGUUGGUUUCUUCAAUGAAGUCAUAUCUGCCGGAUCAACAUUGUCUUUGUAAAACUUCAACUCUUCUGUUGCACAAACCGACUCAGCAUAAGCCGCAUCACCUUCUUCACACUCCAGAGCGAUCUUGCGGCUCCCAUGCACGGUUAUAGUUCCCUUGUGACCCGGCAUCUUGAGCUGCAGAUAGACAUAACAAGGCCGUGCCAUAAACUUAGCAUAAGCUGGCCGUCCAAACAGGGCAUGAUACGGGCUUUUGAUUUUUCACCACUUCAAAGGUCAAUGUUUCUGAUCUUGAGUCAUGCUCAUCUCCAAAAGCCACCUCCAGAGCUAUCUUACCAACAGGAUAUGCUGAUUUACCAGGCACCACACCAUGGAACACCGUAUUGGACGGUUUAAGAUUUUUAUCUGUUAACCCCAUGCGACGGAAAGUUUCAUAAUAAAGGAUAUUGACACUACUCCCUCCAUCCAUGAGUACCUUAGUGAACUUAUAACCUCCCACCUGAGGUGCCACCACCAGUGCCAGAUGACCCGGAUUGUCAACCCGGGGCGGAUGAUCUUCUCUACUCCACACAAUCGGCUGCUCGGACCAACGCAAAUAACGGGGCACCACCGGUUCAACGGCAUUCACUGCCCUUUUAUGAAGCUUCUAAUCGCGCUUGUCCAGGCUAGUGGUGAAGACAUGAUACUGUCCGCUAUUCAACUGCUUCGGGUUGCUCUGGUAACCCGACUGCUGCUGCUGCUGUUGCUGAUUCCCCUAAUUGUUAUAACCACCUUGGUUACCCUGAUUGCCUUGAUUGCCAUGCCCGCUCUGGUUACCGUGAAAACCUGAACCGGAACUGCCUCCACCAUAACCCAGCCCAUGAGACCCGGGGCCCGAACCGCCACCCGGUCCAUGAUCAUACCAGAAAGAAUUAGAAUUUUUGAACUCUUGCAUGAUGUAGCAAUCUUUCCAGAGGUGCAUGGAUGGAUUCUCCUUCGUCCCAUGUUUUGGGCAAGGCUGGUUCAACAGAUAAGACAGGCGGUCCGGGUUAGGACUUGGUCCUCCAUCGCGCUAGGGCGGUUUACCCUUACGCCGUUGGCCCUUGUCCUGCGUGCUGGUAUUAGCCACAAAGUCUAAGCCGUGGUCCGCUUUACGCUUGCCGCCGUUUCCAUGACCCGCCGGGUUGUGGUGCUGCCCCUUGGCGUUGCCGCUCCUUUUUCCCUUCCCUGUCUUAUCAUCGUCAGACUCGGGAUCCUUGGUACUAUCAGAGUCGGCAUACUUCACCAGAGCAGCCAUGAGGAUUCCCAUGUCAUUACAAUGAAGUUUGAGCCGUCCCAACUUCAACUUCAGGGGUUCAAACCGGCAAUUGCCUUCCAAUGUUAAAACUGCGGUAUCAGCGUUGAUGCGGUCCGAUGAAUGCAAAAUUUCCGAAACCCGGCGCACCCAACAGGUUGUUGACUCUCCUUCCUCCUGGACACAGGCAGCUAAGUCCACAAUUGACAUGGGCUGCUUGCAUGUAUCCUUGAAAUUCUGGAUAAACCGGGCUCUCAACUCGGCCCAUGACCUGAUAGAAUUAGCCGGCAAGCUCUUUAGCCAAGUGCGGGCUAUCCCUUCCAGCAUCAUGGUGAAGUAUUUCGCACACGCCGCAUCAUCCACAUCCAGCAUCUCCAUGGCCAUCUCAUAGCUUUCGAACCAUGUCUCAGGGGAUAAAUCGGCGGUGUAAUUCGGCACCUUGCGCGGGCCUUUGACAUCCUUGGGCAGGCGCACAUUGCGCAAUGCUGGGACGAGACACGGCACUCCCAAAGAACUAGAAGUAACUCUUGGUUCCACCGACGUGGUUGGACGAACCGGAGUAAGCUAACGGGCUUCAUGCUGCGCCGCUAACUCAGCCUAUCUGCGUGCCCGAGCCCGGUCCACCACCUCCUGAGCAUCACCAGCACCACCCGCCGGGUUAUUGCCACGGGGCGGAUCACGGUUCCACGCAUUGCUUGACACUGCUGGUUCAUCCAUACGCCUGCUGUAACUCCGGCUUGGACGGGGAGUGGAAUGAAUCCGAUCGCGACUAUAUGAAUAAGCCUCCUGUUGAACCAAGGCUGUCUGAAGAAGCUCCUUAACCCGACGCGUCUCGACCGCCGUCGGAGAAUCGCCUUCGAUCAGGAUGGCCGCCAGCCGUGAAGCGGCAGCGACAAUGUUGUCCAUCAGGUUAGAGUAAUGACCCGGUGACGUUGGGACAUGCAGUGUUACAAUGUUGUUCUGACGAGGCGGAUCCACCUAACGUGGCUGAACCGGCGCCCCUGCUCCAGGCGCCUCCGCCCGGUUUACCACCGGCGGAUUACUGGUCCCUGCUCCUGGGGUGUUAAAGAGGUUUCUAGCGUCAUAAACUGGCGGCAGGCGAGAUCGGUACCUCCUCUUCAGGACUUCGUUCGACGCACUUUGAUCCAGCAUAAUCCGGUAAGCCUGUGCAUCCAAAGCAGCCCGCUCCGCGGCCAUCCUGGUAUCCUCAGCUGCUAAGUCGGCUUUGGCCUGGGUGAUCUGAUCUUUCACCUUCGCGAUUUCCGCAUUUUGUGCAUCCUGAUCCGCCGGGUUAACCUCUGCCAUCAGCGUUGCCAACGCGUCAAACAAAUCAGAUAGAACCUGAGCCGGCGGUCGCACAGGGCCUCCUGCCCCGGCCGCUGUUGCCGCUGCCGAUCCGGAAAUCAUCGCCGCUGCGGUCGAAGAGUGGAGCGCCGGUUGCGUACCGGCCAUGAAGAUCGCAACCCGGUUUGGCAGAUCAAAGGGGUCCGAAAUACUGUCGCCAUCGGAACAGCCCCCAAUCCGGCCAUCUUGUAACUGAUAUAACGACUCGGUCUCUCCGGUCGAUGACUCGUCGCCGGAAUAAACGACGGUUUCACCACCAGAUUCCGAUCUAUCCUCAGAUUCCCCUCCAUGGAUGACUCCCACGAAGGCACGAUUCAUGACAGGCUUGACCCGGGCAGAUCUCGCACAUUGAGCCGUUUCGAUGAGGUCGGUGCAGAUGUCCGGCUCAGGACCCGGUUCGCCGAUCUUGCCAAUGAAAACGUGUAUGCCACCAAAGGGGACCCGGUACCCGUACUCGAUUGAGCCGGCCUCGGGGCCCCAGCCUGCAUCGUCAAUGUACAGCUUGCCGCGAUGACUCUUGGUCAUCCGGCCCACCGCGUAACCCUUGAGUCCUUCGAAGCUGCCCUCCAAGAACUUGAAACCAUCGUGCGAUAGCCCCACGGUGGGCGCCAACUGUCGUGGUUUUGUCACGGCAGAUGUCCUCGUGAAAGGACUUAGUCGUGGAGCCAUCGCUAUGGGUUAGCUUAAAGGGGUUAAACCGGACAAGGGAUACGAGAGUUUUAUACUAGUUCGGCCCCUUACGAUGAAGGUAAAAGCCUACGUCUAGUUGUGAUGGAAUUGUUGGGGUUUCGUUGACCGGGGAGCGAAUACCCUUUGCCUGAGUCUCGAGUUGUUGUCUGUUCUGCUUGAACCGCCGCCGGGUCGUCCCCUUAUAUACAUGGGUUGACGCCCUUCGGUUUACAGAAUCCCGAGGCCGGCUCAUAAACGUGUCCGGCUCGGCCUCUGCUCUUUUCUAUCUUACAACACAAGUUUACAUAUUAAUGCCGGUUUAUGUCUACAGGCCUUAAACCGGCUUUGGGCCCUGGGCCUUCAUAAAGCGUCACCGUCUGUCUUCAUGGGCUUCGGAUAUAACGAACUACUUAUGGGGUUAACCCGGCCUCUCCUGGCCGGUUUACGCCCAGUGGUAAUAUCCCCAACAAGUGGCUUGACUUGGCACAUGUUUAUGCACGUAGUUGAAUCAAAACCAACAUAGCCUCUAUGAUAUUUAUGUUCAUGGUGUUCAUAUCCUACUCAUGCUAGUGUCCAAUGUUACUUAUGCAUAAUGCAUGGUUAUAUUUGUUGUUGCUCUCUACUCGCUGCUUCUCAAUCUUAAUUGGUAGCCUUCGCCUAUACUAAGUGGGAAUUCUGCUUGUACAUCAAAAACCUUGAACCCAAAGUUAUUCCAGAUGAGUCCACCAUACCUACCUAUAUACGGUACUACCCUGCCAUCCUAAUUAAGUAAAUUUGCAUGUGCCACCUCUAAAAACUUCUAAAAAUUAUCCUUCUUGUGUGCCUGGAUCGUUCAUGGAACAACAGGAGGUGGUCGAUAUCUUCCGUGCUAAGCAGGUUAUUCUCAGGUCGAGUGUUUAUUCACUCGCCAUCGCACGAGAAAAGGGCGGUAAUAGGGAUUCCUAGUCCCGAACUAAAAAAUGAAAAAUAAUUAAACAAAACUCCCCUGAGACUGAUGUUGGUAUGGACGGCACCCAUUGUUUCGGACAAGCCGUGGAGCGUGAUUGAUGGUGGAGGGGGAGUAAACCUUAUUUUUAUCGCUUGGGAACCGCCACUAGCGUGCUUAGCAUGGAAGAUGUUGAUAACUGAUGGUCGUGAAGUGAAUAAGAAGGGUGCAUGUCUCAAAAUAUCAUUUAUCUCUGUUUUAAAAAUUGAGCUCUGGCACCUCUGCAAAUCACUGCUUCCCUCUGCGAAGGGACUAUCUAUUUACUUUUAUGUUGUGUCACCACCUUCUAAAAACAAGCGCCAGAAACUGAGUAGAGCACAGUUGUCAUGAUUUAUGCAUUGUGUGUAGCUAAUGUUGGGUGCAUCAUGACUGGAUCUUUUCUACCAUGAAUUACAAUGUUUAGUCACUGCUUAAACUUUGGAGGUGCUCUGCAUUUAUGUUUUGCGGUCUCAGAAAGGGCUAGCGAGAUACCACUAUUGUCAUAUUAUAUCAUGGUUGUUUUGACAAUGUGUUGCCAUUUGAGAUAUCUUAUUAUUGCUCGCUAGCUGAUUAUGUCAUUGAUAUGAGUCAUUAUAAUCUUUAAGAGUUAUUGACGACAUGGUUAGUAAUAAUGUUGGCUGAAAACCUCGGUGUUGUUUAAGCUUAUUUAUGCAAACAAGAGCAAAAGAGUUUGUAAAAGUUUUUCUUUCUCACUUUCAGUUUAUCAACUGAAUUGCUUGAGGACAAGCAAAGGUUUAAGCUUGGGGGAGUUGAUACGUCUCCAACGUAUCUACUUUUUCACACGCUUUUCCUCUUGUUUUGGACUCUAAUUCGCAUGAUUUGAAUGACACUAACCCCGGACUGACACUGUUUUCAGCAUAACUACCAUGGUGUUGUUUUUGUGUAGAAAUAAAAGUUUUCGGAAUGGAACGAAACUUUGCGAGGAUUUUUAUAUAAUAAAAGAGAAUUUCUGGAGCCAAGAUCCACCAGAGAGGGGGCCCUGGGUGGGCACAACCCACCAGGGCGCGCCCCCUCUCCUGGCGCGCCCAGGUGGGUUGUACCCACCUGGUGGCCCCGCAGACCUCAACCCUGACACUAUAAAAUCACAUAUUUCUAGAAAAAAAUCAGGGAGAAAGAAUUAUCGCGAUCCACGAGAUGAAGCCCCCGCCAAGCCAUGUUCUUCUUCGGGAGGGCUGCUACCUCUUGAGCACUGCGUUGGUUUUCCCUUGAAGAGGAAAGGGUGAUGCAGCAAAGUAGCGUAAGUAUUUCCCUCAGUUUCUGAGAACCAAGGUAUCAAUCCAGUAGGAGGCUACGCGCGAGUCCCUCGUACCUACACAAAACAAAUAACUCCUCGCAACCAACGCGAUAAGGGGUUGUCAAUCCCUUCACGGUCACUUACGAGAGUGAGAUCUGAUAGAUAUGAUAGGAUAAUAUUUUUGGUAUUUUUGUGAUAGAGAUGCAAAGUAAAAUAAAAGCAAAGUAAAAAAGCAAAGGAAAUAAAUAAGUGUUGGAAGAUUAAUAUGAUGAAGAUAGACCCGGGGGCCAUAGAUUUCACUAGUGGCUUCUCUCAAGAGCAUAAGUAUUUUACAGUGGGUGAACGAAUUACUGUUGAGCAAUUGACAGAAUUGAGCAUAGUUAUGAGAAUAUCUAGGUAUGAUCAUGUAUAUAGGCAUCACGUCCGAGACAAGUAGACCGACUCCUGCCUGCAUCUACUACUAUUACUCCACUCAUCGACCGCUAUCCAGCAUGCAUCUAGAGUAUUAAGUUCAUGAAAACAGAGUAACGCCUUAAGCAAGAUGACAUGAUGUAGAGGGAUAAAUUCAUGCAACAUGAUAAAAAAAAACCAUCUUGUUAUCCUCGAUGGCAAUAAUACAAUACGUGCCUUGCUGCCCCUGUUGUCACUGGGAAAGGACACCGCAAGAUUGAACCCAAAGCUAAGCACUUCUCCCAUUGCAAGAAAGAUCAAUCUCGUAGGCCAAACCAAACUGAUAAUUCGAAGAGACUUGAGAAGAUAACCAAUCAUACAUAAAAGAAUUUAGAGAAGAUUCAAAUAUUGUUCAUAGAUAAUCUUGAUCAUAAACCCACAAUUCAUCGGUCUCAACAAACAGACCGCAAAAACAAGAUUACAUCGAAUAGAUCUCCACGAGAGAGGGGGAGAACAUUGUAUUGAGAUCCAAAAAGAGAGAAGAAGCCAUCUAGCUACUAACUAUGGACCCGAAGGUCUGAGGUAAACUACUCACACUUCAUCGAAGAGGCUAUGGUGAUGAUGUAGAAGCCCUCUGUGAUGGAUGCCCCCUCCGGCGGAGCUCCGGAACAGGCCCCAAGAUGGGAUCUCAUGGGUACAGAAGGUUGCGGCAGUGGAAUUAGGUUUUUGGCUCCAUAUUUGAUCGUUUGGGGGUACGUAGGUAUAUAUAGGAGGAAGGAGUACGUCGAUGGAGCAACAGGGGGCCCACGAGGGUGGAGGGCACGCCCUGGGGGGUGGGCGCGCCCCCCUACCUUGUGGCCUCCUCUGUUUCUUGACGUAGGGUCCAAGUCUCCUGGAUCAUAAUCUUCCUAAAAAUCAUGUUCCCGAAGGUUUCAUUCCGUUUGGACUCUGUUUGAUAUUCCUUUUCUGCGAAACUCUGAAAUAGGCAAAAAACUGCAAUUCUGGGCUGGGCCUCCGGUUAAUAGGUUAGUCCCAAAAAUAAUAUAAAAGUGAAUAAUAAAGCCCAAUAAUGUCCAAAACAGUAGAUAAUAUAGCAUGGAGCAAUCAAAAAUUAUAGAUACGUUGGAGACGUAUCAGGCAUCCCCAAGCUUAAUUCCUACUCGUCCUCGAGUAGGUAAAUGAUAAAAACAGAAUUUUUGAUGCGGAGUGCUACUUGGCAUAAUUUCAAUGUAAUUCUUCUUAAUUGUGGUAUGAAUAUUCAGAUCCGAAAGAUUCAAGACAAAAGUUUAGUAUUGACAUAAAAAUAAUAAUACUUCAAGCAUACUAACAAAGCAAUCAUGUCUUCUCAAAAUAACAUGGCCAAAGAAAGUUAUCCCUACAAAAUCAUAUAGUCUGGCUAUGCUCUAUCUUCACCACACAAAGUAUUUAAAUCAUGCACAACCCCGAUGACAAGCCAAGCAAUUGUUUCAUACUUUUGACAUUCUCAAACUUUUUCAAUCUUCACGCAAUACAUGAGCGUGAGCCAUGGAUAUAGCACUAUAUGUGGAAUAGAACGGUGGUUGUGGAGAAGACAAAAAGGGAGAAGAUAGUCUCACAUCAACUAGGCGAAUCAACGGGCUAUGGAGAUGCCCAUCAAUAGAUAUCAAUGUGAGUGAGUAGGGAUUGCCAUGCAACGGAUGCACUAGAGCUAUAAGUAUAUGAAAGCUCAACAAAAGAAACUAAGUGGGUGUGCAUCCAACUCGCUUGCUCACGAAGACCUAGGGCAUUUUGAGGAAGCCCAUCAUUGGAAUAUACAAGCCAAGUUCUAUAAUGAAAAAUUCCUACUAGUAUAUGAAAGUGACAAAAUGAGAGACUCUCUAUCAUGAAGAUCAUGGUGCUACUUUGAAGCACAAGUGUGGUAAAAGGAUAGUAACAUUGUCCCUUCUCUCUUUUUCUCUCAUUUUUUUAUUUGGGCCUUUUCUCUCUUUUUUUAUGGCCUCUUUUCUUUUCUUUUUUUUCGUCUAGAGUCUCAUCCCGACUUGUGGGGGAAUCAUAGUCUCCAUCAUCCUUUUCCUCACUUGGGACAAUGCUCUAAAAAUGAUGAUCAUCACACUUUUAUUUUCUUACAACUCAACAAUUACAACUCGAUACUUAGAACAAAAUUUGACUCUAUAUGAAUGCCUCCGGCGGUGUACCGGGAUAUGCAAUGAAUCAAGAGUGACAUGUAUGAAAGAAUUAUGAACGGUGGCUUUGCCACAAAUACAAUGUCAACUACAUAAUCAUGCUAAGCAAUAUGACAAUGAUGGAGCAUGUUAUAAUAAACGGAACGGUGGAAAGUUGCAUGGCAAUAUAUCUUGGAAUGGCUAUGGAAAUGCCAUGAUAGGUAGGUAUGGUGGCUGUUUUGAGGAAGGUAUAUAGUGGGUGUAUGAUACCGGCGAAAAGUGCGCGGUAUUAGAGAGCCUAGCAAUGGUGGAAGGAAGAAAGUGUGUAUAAUCCAUGGACUCAACAUUAGUCAUAAAGAACUCAUAUACUUAUUGCAAAAAUCUACAAGUUAUCAAAGCAAAGUAUUACGCGCAUGCUCCUAGGGGGAUAGAUUGGUAGGAAAAGACCAUCGCUCGUCCCCGACCGCCACUCAUAAGGAAGACAAUCAAUAAAUAAAUCGUGCUCCGACUUCAUCACAUAACGGUUCACCAUACGUGCAUGCUACGGGAAUCACAAACUUUAACACAAGUAUCUCUCAAAUUCACAACUACUCAACUAGCAUGACUCUAAUAUCACCAUCUUUAUAUUUCAAAACAAUUAUCAAGCAUCAAACUUCUCAUAGUAUUCAACACACUCAUAAGAAAGUUUUACAAAUCUUGAAUACCAAGCAUAUUAGGAUUAUUUAAGCAAAUUACCAUGCUAUUUAAGACUCUCAAAAUAAUCUAAGUGGGGCAUGAGAGAUCAAUAGUUUCUAUAAAACAAAUCCACCACCGUGCUCUAAAAGAUAUAAGUGAAGUACUAGAGCAAAACUAUAUAACUCAAAAGAUAUAAGUGAAGCACAUAGAGUAUUCUAACAAAUUCCAAAUCAUGUAUGGCUCUCUCAAAAGGUGUGUACAGCAAGGAUGAUUGUGGUAAACUAAAAAUCAAAGACUCAAAUCAUAGAAGACGCUCCAAGCAAAACACAUAUCAUGUGGUGAAUAGAAAUAUAGCUCCAAGUAAAGUUACCGAUGGAAGUAGACGAAAGAGGGGAUGCCUUCCGGGGCAUCCCCAAGCUUUGGCUUUAUGGUGUCCUUAGAUUAUCUUGGGGGUGCUAUGGGCAUACCCAAGCUUAGGCUCUUUCCACUCCUUGUUCCAUAAUCCAUCAAAAUCUUUCACCCAAAACUUGAAAACUUCACAACACAAAACUCAACAGAAAUCUCGUGAGCUCCGUUAGCGAAAGAAAACAAAAGACCACUUCAAGGUACUGUAAUUAACUCAUUCUUUCUUUAUAUUGGUGUUAAACCUACUGUAUUCCAACUUCACUAUGGUUUAUAAACUAUUUUACUAGCCAUAGAUUCAUCAAAAUAAGCAAACAACACACGAAAAACAGAAUCUGUCAAAAACAGAACAGUCUGUAGUAAUAUGUAACUAACGCAAACUUCUGGAACUCCAAAAAAUCAGACAAAAUAGGAAGACCUAGAAAAUUUGUUUAUUGAUCAGCAGAAAUUGGAAUCACUAUUUUAUCACGUUAUGGGGAUUUUUAACAAUUUUUUUCGUGAACAGAAAGUUUCUGGAAAUUACAGCAAGAUCAAAUAACUAUCAUCCAAGAAGAUCCUAUAGGUUUAACUUGGCACAAACACUAAUUAAAACAUAAAAACACAUCUAACCAGAGGCUAUAUCAAAAAUUUAUUCCUAAACAGAAUCAAAAGCAAAAAAAUAAAAAUAAAAUUGGGUUGCCUCCCAACAAGCGCUAUCGUUUAACGCCCCUAUCUAGGCAUAAAAGCAAGGAUAGAUCUAGGUAUUGCCAUCUUUGGUAGGGAAUCCAUAAGUGGCUCUCAUGAUAGAUUCAUAUGAUAAUUUUAUUUUCUUCCUAGGGAAGUGUUCCAUGCCUUUCUUUAAUGCAAAUUGAAAUCUAAUAUUCCCUUCCUUCAUAUCAAUAAUUGCACCAAUCGUUCUAAGGAAAGGUCUACCAAGAAUAAUAGGACAUGAAGGAUUGCAAUCUAUAUCAAGAACGAUAAAAUCUACGGGCACAUAAUUCCUAUUUGCAACAAUAAUAACAUCAUUAAUUCUUCCCAUAGGUUUCUUAAUAGUGGAAUCCGCAAUGUGCAAGUUUAGAGAGCAAUCAUCAAAAUCACGGAAAUCUAGCAAAUCGCACAAAGUUUUGGGAAUAGUGGAAACACUAGCACCCAAAUCACAUAAAGCAUAGAACUCAUGAUCCUUAAUCUUAAUUUUAAUAGUUGGUUCCCACUCAUCAUAAAGUUUUCUAGGGAUAGAAACUUCCAACUCAAGCUUUUCUUCAUAAGAUUGCAUCAAGGCAUCAACGAUAUGUUGGGUAAAAGCUUUAUUUUGACUAUAAGCAUGAGGAGAAUUUAGCACGGAUUGCAACAAGGAAAUACAAUCUAUCAAAGAGCAAUUUUCAUAAUUAAAUUCCUUAAAAUCCAAAAUAGUGGGUUUAGCAACAUCUAGGGUUUUGAUUUCUUCAAUCCCACUUUUAUCAAUUUUAGCAUCAAGAUCUAAAAACUCUGAAUUUUUGGAACGCCUUCUAGGUAAAGGUGGAUCAUAUUCAGUCCCAUCAUUAUCAAGAUUCAUAUUGCAAAACAAAGAUUUAAUAGGGGACACAUCAAUAACUUUUAGAUCUUCGUCUUUAUUUUCAUAGAAAUUUGAAGAACACGCUUUCAUAAAGCAAUCUUUCUUAGCACGCAUCCUAGCGGUUCUUUCUUUGCACUCAUCAAUGGAAAUUCUCAUGGCUUUGAGAGACUCAUUAAUAUCAUGCUUAGGAGGAAUAGAUCUAAGUUUUAAAGAAUCAACAUCAAGAGAAAUUCUAUCAACGUUCCUAGCCAAUUCAUCAACUUUAAGCAAUUUCUCUUCAAGCAAAGCAUUGAAAUUCUUUUGUGAAUUCAUAAACUCUUUAACACUAGUCUCAAAUUCAGAGGGCAUCUUAUUAAAAUUUCCAUAAGAGUUGUUGUAGGAAUUACCAUAAUUAUUAGAGGAAUUACUAGGAUAAGGCCUAGGAUUAAAGUUUCCCCUAUACGCGUUGUUACCAAAAUUAUUCCUACCAACAAAAUUCACAUCCAUAGAUUCAUUAUUAUUCUCAAUCAAAGUAGACAAAGGCAUAUCAUUAGGAUCAGAAGAAACACUCUUACUAGCAAAUAAUUUCAUAAGUUCAUCCAUCUUUCCACUCAAAACAUUAAUUUCUUCUAUCGCAUGCACUUUUUUAUUAGUAGAUCUUUCAGUGUGCCAUUGAGAAUAAUUAACCAUAAUAUUAUCUAGGAGUUUAGUAGCUUCUCCUAAAGUGAUUUCCAUAAAAGUGCCUCCCGCGGCCAAAUCUAAAAGAUUUCUAGAAGCAAAAUUCAAUCCGGCAUAAAAUUUUUGUAUAAUCAUCCAUAAAUUCAAACCAUGAGUAGGGCAAUUAUGUAUCAUUAAUUUCAUCCUCUCCCAAGCUUGUGCAACAUGUUCAUGAUCAAGUUGCUUAAAAUUCAUAAUAUCGUUUCUAAGAGAGAUGAUCUUAGCGGGAGGAAAAUACUUAGAGAUAAAAGCAUCUUUGCACUUAUUCCAAGAAUCAAUACUAUUUUAGGCAAAGACGAAAACCAAGCUUUAGCACGAUCUCUAAGAGAAAAAUGAAAUAGCUUUAAUUUAACAAUAUUGUUGUCAACAUCUUUCUUCUUUUGCAUAUCACGCAAAUCAAUGAAGCUAUUUAGAUGAGUAGCGGCAUCUUCACUAGGAAGGCCGGCGAAUUGAUCUUUCAUGACAAGAUUCAACAAAGCAGCAUUGAUUUCAAAAGAUUCAGUAUUGGUAAGAGGAGCAAUCGUAGUGCUAAGGAAAUCAUUAUUGUUGGUAUUGGUAAAGUCACAUAAUUUGGUAUUAUCUUGAGCCAUCGUGACAAACAAGCAAUCCAACACAAGAGCAACAAGAAAGCAAGCGAAAAAGAGGCGAACGGAAAAGAGAGGGCGAAUAAAACGGCAAGGGUGAAGUGGGGGAGAGGAAAACGAGAGGCAAAUGGCAAGUAAUGUAAUGCGGGAGAUAAGGGAUUUGUGAUGGGUACUUGGUAUGUUGACUUUUGCGUAGACUCCCCGGCAACGGCGCCAGAAAUCCUUCUUGCUACCUCUUGAGCACUGCGUUGGUUUUCCCUUGAAGAGGAAAGGGUGAUGCAGCAAAGUAGCGUAAGUAUUCCCCUCAGUUUUUGAGAACCAAGGUAUCAAUCCAGUAGGAGGCUACGCGUGAGUCCCUUGUACCUACACAAAACAAAUAACUCCUCGCAACCAACGCGAUAAGGGGUUGUCAAUCCCUUCACAGUCGCUUACGAGAGUGAGAUCUGAUAGAUAUGAUAGGAUAAUAUUUUUGGUAUUUUUGUGAUAGAGAUGCAAAGUAAAAUAAAAGCAAAGUAAAAGGCAAAGGAAAUAAAUAAGUGUUGGAAGAUUAAUAUGAUGAAGAUAGACCCGGGGGGCAUAGAUUUCACUAGUGGCUUCUCUCAAGAGCAUAAGUAUUUUACGGUGGGUGAACGAAUUACUGUUGAGCAAUUAACAGAAUUGAGCAUAGUUAUGAGAAUAUCUAGGUAUGAUCAUGUAUAUAGGCAUCACGUCCGAGACAAGUAGACCGACUCCUGCCUGCAUCUACUACUAUUACUCCACUCAUCGACUGCUAUCCAGCAUGCAUCUAGAGUAUUAAGUUCAUGAAAACAGAGUAACGCCUUAAGCAAGAUGACAUGAUGUAGAGGGAUAAAUUCAUGCAAUAUGAUAAAAAAAACCAUCUUGUUAUCCUCGAUGGCAACAAUACAAUAUGUGCCUUGCUGCCCCUGUUGUCACUGGGAAAGGACACCGCAAGAUUGAACCCAAAGCUAAGCACUUCUCCCAUUGCAAGAAAGAUCAAUCUAGUAGGCCAAACCAAACUGAUAAUUCAAAGAGACUUGCAAAGAUAACCAAUCAUACAUAAAAGAAUUCAGAGAAGGUUCAAAUAUUGUUCAUAGAUAAUCUUGAUCAUAAACCCACAAUUCAUAGGUCCCAACAAACACACCGCAAAAAGAAGAUUACAUCGAAUAGAUCUCCACGAGAGAGGGGAGAACAUUGUAUUGAGAUCCAAAAAGAGAGAAGAAGCCAUCUAGCUACUAACUAUGGACCCGAAGGUCUGAGGUAAACUACUCACACUUCAUCGGAGAGGCUAUGGUGAUGAUGUAGAAGCCCUCCGUGAUGGAUGCCCCCUCCGGCGGAGCUCCGGAACAGGCCCCAAGAUGGGACCUCGUGGGUACAAAAGGUUGCGGCGGUGGAAUUAGGUUUUUGGCUCCGUAUCUGAUCGUUUGGGGGUACGUGUGUAUAUAUAGGAGGAAGGAGUACGUCGGUGGAGCAACAGGGGGCCCACGAGGGUGGAGGGCGCGCCCCCCUACCUCGUGGCCUCCUCCUUUGUUUCUUGACGUAGGGUCCAAGUCUCCUGGAUCAUAAUCUUCCUAAAAAUCACGUUCCCGAAGGUUUCAUUCCGUUUGGACUCCGUUUGAUAUUCCUUUUCUGCGAAACUCUGAAAUAGGCAAAAAAACAACAAUUCUGGGUUGGGCAUCCGGUUAAUAGGUUAGUCCCAAAAAUAAUAUAAAAGUGAACAAUAAAGCCCAAUAAUGUCCAAAACAGUAGAUAAUAUAGCAUGGAGCAAUCAAAAAUUAUAGAUACGUUGGAGACGUAUCAAGGGCAGAUAUGGAGUCCGUUUGGGGCUCCGAAGAGGGGGAUCUUCGUUCUUCGUCAUCACCAACCCUUCUCCAUCGCCAAUUCCAUGAUGCUCCCCACCGGGAGUGAGUAAUUCCUUCGUAGGCUCGCUGGUCGGUGAGGAGUCGGAUGAGAUUCAUCAUGUAAUCGAGUUAGUUUUGUUAGGGCUUGAUCCCUAGUAUCCACUAAGUUCUUAGAUUGAUGUUGCUAUGACUUUGCUAUGCUUAAUGCUUGUCACUUUGGGCCCAGGUGCCAUGAACUCAGAUCUGAACCGUUUAUGAAUUCAUCAUUAUAUCCAUGUUUUAGAUCCGAUCUUGCAAGUUAUAGUCACCUACUACGCGUCAUGAUCCGACAACCACGGAGUGACAACAACCGGGCCCACUCUCGGUGAUGACCGUAGUUUGAGGACUUCAUGUAUUCACUAUGUGUUAAUGCUUUGUUCCGGUUCUCUAUUAAAAUGAGGCCUUAAUAUCCCUUAGUUUCCAAUAUGGACCCCGCUGCCACGGGAGGGUAGGACAAAUGAUGUCAUGCAAGUUCUUUUAAUAAAGCACUUAUGACUAUUUAUGGAAUACAUGCCUACAUUAUAUCGAUGAACUGGAGCUAGUGCCGAAUCGCCCUAGGUUAUAACCGUCACAUGAUGAAUAUCAUCCAACAAGUCACCGAUCCAAUGCCUACGAAUUUAUCUUAUAUUGUUUCUGUUGCGUUACUACUGCUAUCAUCACUGUUACACUUGCUACAAAAUUACUGCUAUCACUGUUACUGUUACUAUUGUUGUUGUCACUACUAUCAAAACUAUCAAACUACUUUUCUACUGAUCACUUUGCUGCAGAUAAUUAAUCUUCAGGUGUGGUUGAAUUGACAACUCAGCUGCUAAUAUCUUCAAAUAUUCUUUGGCUCCCCUUGUGUCGAAUCUAUAAAUUUGGGUUGAAUACUCUACCCAUGAAAACUGUUGCGAUCCCCUAUACUUGUGGGUUAUCAUUAAAGCAUCCCGAAUUCCUUACCAAAGAUAGCAGUUGUCAUCUGUGAGAUAUGGCGCUUUAAGCUGGUCGGUUCUGCAGUGGUCUCUUUCAAAGAAGAUUCGGCAGUCUCUGCUCUUUGUACUAAGGCGGUUUUCUCUUUCUCCCAAGCGUUUCUUUCUGUGGAAAACCCAGCUCUGAGCUUCUCGCUCUCCUCCGAACUAAGCUCAAGCUUGGAGUCAGCUUGGCGUGUUUCAGCUUCUUGUUGCUCAAGCCUGGUCUUUAAAUCGACCACCUAGGACUCGGCCUGAGUUAAAGCAUCCUGCAAGUAAGAGUUAAACAGUUAUAAACAUAUUUGCCAGGUCACAAUCUACAUACAAGUCUCAAGCAUGUUGCAAGCAAAGCACUUGACACUUGGGGGCUAAUGUGUGCGGAAGCUCUUUUUUGCAUUAUAUUGUCCGUGAUCCGGCUCAUCCUUCUCAAGAUAAGCCGGCCCAUGAGGGCUAUGGUUUGGAGCUUUUCUUUCGAAGUAAUGAAAAUAAUCUGGUUCAUCUUUUAUCAAGAUAAGCCGGCUCAUGAGGGCUAUGACUUUAGAGAUUGCAGUAACAUAUGGACAAGUCUUAACCCUACUCAGACAUAUAUUUUCCUACGGAUAAGACUUGGGGGGCUAGAUGACUAUAUAUGCAAAGGAAACAGAUGUUCAUACCUCAUAUUUCUGGCACAAUUACUUUACUAAAUCCGCCUCCAGAUCACGACUAGUAUGCAGCUGGCUCAGAUAACCAGAGUAUAAUUCGCUAACGCCCAAGUGUGAAUAAUUUACAACGUCAAAUCUGGCCUUGCUUUUUUCAAUUAACUCUUCUUUGACAGAAUGCUUGGCCAGAAUGGUGGGGUUCCCGGGUUCAGCAUAACCAGUUCUAGUAAUGAUGACAUCCUCAGCAGUUUGUUGCGAAGGAGGCUCUUCAGCAGGUUUUAUGGGACUGGGCGGCUUAGUGCUGGAUGGGUCAACACCCAUUGGAUCAACUAUGACGUCGUGAGUCUCUGGUGGUGGGUCAUCAGCAGCAGCCUCCGGAGUAUGAUGAGAAGCUUCAGAUAUGAUUUGUUUCUCCGGCUCAGUAACCUUGGGGUCUUCGGCCGGCUUGUUUAUCUUCAAUUUCUUGCUGGGUUUGGCUAUACCGCUGAAAGUAAGACAUAUGAAGAUUUAAUAUAUCAGUUUGUAAAGUGUUCAAAAACAAAGAGGUUAAGUGUUCUCACCCAGGAGCGACUUUGAACAGAGGAAUCUGAGUCCCAGUAGAGUUGCCGGAGGAGGAGUGAGAGGUUCCAUGAUAAUUUGAGUUGGAAGGAUUAAGCGGUUGACGAAAAAGACCCGCCUUUGGAAAAGAGAAGUUUGAGUCCUGAGAAACCUCUGCUCGGCGUUUGCGAGGGGCCGGCGUGUUGGGUAAGCCGGCAUGAAGGUCUCCCCCUCCGCUAUUCCGGGUUGUACGCCGAGCUUCAUGCUGUUGUUUCUUUAAAAUAAAGUUUGGAUCCAAGUAAGCUAAAGGGUGAGAAAACCUUACUUUCCGGGUCACGUGCCAAAAUUUCUGUCUUGGCAAAGGCUCUAAUCGAAUCGGAGGAAAUAAUAGUUACCUCUACAGCAUCUGCCUGGCUGGUCUCCGCGUCAUCCUGAGAGGGUUCGGCGUCAAUAAGAUGCACAAAAAAGGAGCCAAGGGAAUCAAGUUCUACCUCCGACUCAUCAUCCAGAGUAAAUUGGAAUUAGUCUGUUGCAUCUGUUUUCUUCUUGGCGGGUCUCUUGGGAGCCUUGGUCUUUCCCCUGGCCUUUUAGCCGGUUUAUCUUGAAGCUUCUUAUUCCAAAAAGGAGAGUCGGCCUGAAGAGAGCAGGAUAAUAAGGCCAGUGCAACAUAUGAGAAUAAUGAAUAAAGUAAAAGGGGCUUCAUAUACUUACAGCUGGAGCCGGGUUAAGAACAUAGAAGGGGCUCAGCCCCGUUUUGCUGUAGAUUUCUAGAGUUUCUCCAAGUAAAGACUUGGUCAUUUCGUUGAGGUCCUUCUCUUCAAGGAAUGUUGAGUUAUACCGCAAGGGGUCAUUCACAUCGCCUGUGUAUGUGCACAUUAAGCCGGGGCAGCGGCUUAAAGGCAUGAUUCUCCAGCUAACCCAGCAUCGGACCAGGUCAAUACCGGUCAAGCCAUUUGCCAUCAAGGCCCUUAUCUUAGUAAAAGUGGGUCCAUAAUUGGCUCGUUCAGCAGAGCUGAUCCGGUCUGGAAGUGGGUGCUUGGGGUUGAGCCGGUGAAUACGGAAACCCGGCAGAGGAUUUUCACCCGCCGGAGAGGUGUCUUGGCAAUAAAACCAAGUCUGGUUCCAGUCUUUGGGGUGACUGGGAAGUGCAGCUGAAGGAAAGACGGCGUCUCUUCACCUCCGGAUAGAAAUUCCACCAAGUUCAAGGUUGGGCCCGUCUGUCAUCUCUGUUUGGCGGUUCAAAUAGUAAUACUCUCUAAAGAGGUCAACGUUGGGCUCCUCUUGAAGGUAUACUUCACAAAAGACUUGAAAAUUGCAAAUAUUGGAAACUGAGUUGGGUCCGAUGUCUUGAGGGUGAAGUUGAUAGAAAUUCAGGACGUCAUGGAAUAAUUUUGAGCCGGGCGGUGAGAAGCCUCAGAGCAUAUGAUCAGAGAAAACUAUAACUUCUCCUUCUUUUGGUUGAGGUGGAACCUCAGCCCCUGGAACCCGCCAAUGGAUGACAUCCUUAGAUGGUAAAACGCCCAUGGCAACAAACUCUUGGAGAGUCCGUUCUAUGACAUUGGAAAACGACCCAGUCGCACAAGGUGACGGUCUUAGUCAUUUUGAUCAGGUGAAAACCUAGAAAGGAAAUCAUGGCGGGUCAAAUUUGUGAUGAUGAGCCGCCCGAUGGUUGAACAAAGUAAAGUUAUUAUGCAAAAUUGGUUAUAUGCAAGGAUUGGUAAGCUGCUUAAUGGUUGCAGAAAAGAAAAUAUCAUGGUUAAACCGGCGAGGUAUGAGCUGGAUAAUGUCAAGCCUGGAUAAGUACUGGCGGUUUAAACAACUUAUAAGGUAAGCCGGCUGGUAUUUGGCGGGUUACAAAGUAUUAUUUGAGCCGCUCAUACAACAGUGGUCGAGCCGAUGGUUACAAGAUCUAGGGAUUGGAUAGAAUUUCACUAAGUGCUAGACAAACAAGUUUCACAGAUUCUGCCUAUAAUUUCAAAUCUACGGCCGUUACAGAAACAGGAGAAAAUUACUAGCCCUAAAAACAAUGGACGAACCACGGGUGUGGGGAGUGAAUUUCAACAGCAGCAAGUGGAUCCAUAUUUGAUAGCAGAUAUUAAAGGGGGGUAAGGUGUGACUUUAGCAUCGCAUUUUGGUCCUACUAAGGUGGCAUGGUCGAUGAACUAUAGACAAGGGUGAUGAACACCGAUGAACUCCGAAGAACUACAGAAACCCUAAUGCAGAUGUGAGGAAAAAGGAGAUGGGUACCUGGAGAUGCUGAUGAACAGCGGAGGGGCGCCGCCGUUUUCUGGUCGAGGUCAGGUUGAUGCAGCGGCCAAGGUUGAUGCAGUCUACGGGGGCGGCGGAGCUCCGGAGGCGUCGGUCGUUGCGAGGAAGAAGAAGAGGCAGAGGCAGGGGUAAAAAGUGAAGAAGAGGACCCCCUGUCCCUAUUUAUAAGGAGGUGAAAAGAUGGCCUGCACGGAAAUUGAGGAGGCAAAAUGAUUAUGUUAAACGACGUGGGUGCCUCGAUUCUCAGGAGGUCCAUUAAGAUAAAGAUCCAUUGAGAUAUCAUGGGCUUUGUGCGGAAUCAAUGCACAUGACGUCAUGGCGGGUUACAAUAUUUCUGCUUAUGUGAUGUCAUGGCGGGUUAUAUCGGUCUGAUGAAGAUUCGACACUGAUACAUUAUGCUAAGUUAAAUAGUGGAGAUUGAUAUGAACAACUUCAAAUCAACCUGGGGCCUGAUGUUGGGGAUAUAGCUCCUAGGUGUGACCCGCCCAGGAGGGGCCGGGUUACACCAUUGGCGACUCAACAUGAAGAAGGUCCAAGGAGGCCCAAGGAGAAGUACGAAGAUGGCGGCUCUUGGAGGCAGGCCUAGUAAAAGCCCAAGACCUGGGCCUGUGAACUGUCGUAUGAAGACUUGUUCUGUAAGGCAGGAUUAGUUAGAAACCAAGCCGGACACGCUGUGUGAGCCGGCUGGGACUCUAUAAGCCUCCGGGUCUCUACCUGUGUAUAUAAAGGUGAGACCCGGCGGCAGGUUAACUCGAGAAACAAGCAAUCGAGAACUAGGUCAAGCGUAUUCGCUCCCUUGUAAUCGAAACUCAAGCAAUACAAUUAGAAGCAGGACAUAGGCCUUUACCUCAUUGUGAGGGGCCGAACCUGGGUAAACUCUCUGUGUCCUUUGUCCCGUUCAACCCCUUCAAGCUAACCUAGUUGCGAUGGCUCCACACCUAAGUCCUUUCACUAGGGCAUCUGCCGUGACAAAUCCACGACAGAGAGCAACCUAUAUUGAGGAUCCAUAGAAUGUAGCAAUAUGAUAUGAUAUGACAAUAAGCAUCAAACAUGAGAAGCAUGCAUUCAAAAGAUACAAAGUACAUAUCAUAAAUAAGCGAUAAGAGACAUAUCUAGUAAGAUCAUCACCUACAGCAUGGGCACAAAAUGCAUCCAAAAGUCAUGAGUGUGCAAAGAUAUAUGCAAUACAAACAAACACUCAAUUCUCAACAUCUUACGAAUCCACCAAACAGUCAAAGAAAAUAGUAACCAACAAGGAAGUAAGGAUGCCAAAGAGGGAUAUGCACUUUAUCAUGUGUAUAUGUCUCUUAUGUGAUCGAUAAUCAUCAAGAUGUGCAUUCACAAAGAGAACUGCACAUGCAAAAUAGUCACAAAAAUAUAAGAACAUGAUAUCCAUGAGUGAAUCCAUUACUAUACAAUUUUAAUCUUAGCAUGAACGCUUUGGCACAUAGCACAUGGGACAAGAUACAUGGCACAAAUUGAUAUAAUUUGUAUAACAAUUGAAUUACAGUGUAAGAGAGCACUAACCACGAGCAAAUAAAGUGCUUUUGCAAUUUCAUUUGCAUGCUAGACAACUUCAAGGAAUGGAUAUGUGAUGGAUUGCUUGAUUGGCAUAUUUGGUAUAAAUUAAUCAUGAACAUGAUUUUAUAGAUCCCCAUGAUAGGCUUCUUCACAAAUGUUUCAAAUAUGCAACUAGGAGGUUUAUGCUCUUGCAAGAAACAUAACUUCCAUAAAUACAAUCCAUAGCAUGAUGCAAUCUUUACAAGGUUGACUCCAUUUAUAUAUAUAUAUGCAUUAAGUAAAUAAAUGUUACCAAGAUAGCAUCGGUAUGAAGUAUUAUAUCUAUGAAUCAUCUAAACUUGGUUCUAAUUUUCUCAAGGUGUCACCACCUUCUACAUGAAUAAGCUAAGCUUACAAUGCGUCUCCAAUGAGCCUAAAACACAUUUAACUAUAACCUGGUCCCCAAACAUAUUGGGUCCGGAGUAGUUAGUGCAACUACCAUACAUAGGGUAAGCUCUUAAAUCUGUGCAUUUGGAUGUGAACUUGAAUUUCAUGCACAUCUUAGCCAUUAGAAUGAGUUAAUGUUAUUAAAGCUCGCAAUAAGAUCUUGGAUCUGAAAAUAAAAUGUAGUACGAGCAAACAAAUCUGGUCAAUACAAACUUUCCAUCUACAGAACACCAUCUGUAGUGAGUACACCUCCUAACCUUAGUUGGCAGCCAAUCAUCUCAUCAAACUAAUUCUAUAGAAAAUAAAACAUAGCACAAUGACAAUCAUAUUUUAAAGGGAGAAGCAAGGACCAAAACAAAAAAACUGCCUGAGCAGAUAGCAGACUAAAAAAUGGGCAUAUUCAGAACUGAAGCAAAGCACAUUUUAAACUUACUAGUAAAAGUGCCCCUGCAUUGCACCGGGUUGGAUUGUCGAUUUUUGGAUCAUGGAUUUUGUAUUUGGAAAGUCCCGCCCUCAUGUCCUCCGUCGACAUCUACUUCAGCUCCGCACCGCCAUCGAAGUGCAAGUAGAGAUGCAGACAUAGAAACUUUCAUACAGAUGGAGUGAAACUCCACACAGAUUGGUCAUAUAUAUACUCACCGCAAAACCAUCAUUAGAACCUUACUUAUUUAAUCUUUGCAAACAACACAAAGCAAUUGUGUAUACCGACCAAUGGGACACCAUUAUGAUAAUGAAGACUGCCCAGCCUGUCUGAAAGAACAAUUUAUAUGCACACCAAGUUAAGAACAACAUCGACAGGGCUCCGUUAGCAGCAUGAAACGGUCGAACAUGUGAAAAAAGAUUUACAAUAUCUUCCUAAUUUAUCCAAGAACUUUGCAAACUAACCAUAUUAGUCUAUCAAAAAUAGCACAACGUUUGAAAAUCCCCUGGGUCCAAGCACAAAUGACAUAUAAUACAGUUACUCAUUUCUUAAAGCUAAUACAAUUAAAUCUUGAGCAUGAACGUGCAUCUUUGAAAUGCAUCAGUUUACAAACUGACCAAGUAAAGCCAAUCAAAAAAAAAUGUAUGCAUCUUUCAAAUCAGAACUGGAGUUUAGUAGACACCAAAACUUAUAAAUUAUCGCGUGCUUCUUCAUGUUGCGAGACAUAGAAUAUUUUUCUGUUAGUCCUAACUUCUCAAGAAACAUAUGGACUGAGUUAUCCCGUGAAAGCAGAUACUUAAAAGCAUGAAGCAUGUGAACACCUAUAUGCAGCAAAGUGUGUCCCAAAGCCAGGACAAAGCAUUAGUUUUGGUCACUAUGUGUAAUGCAAAAUAAGCAAUUCAAUCGAAGUGGUCACGUUAAAAAAAAUCUAGAUUCAAAGAGGCGAACAAUCAUCCAAAGAAAAUGUGGAGUCAAACUCUGCAGCGAUGGCUCUUACAGUGUGCUCCCUUGAUUUGUGUAUGCCUUCACUUACCUAAAGUAUUCAUUGUUUCUCCAUUAAUCAAUCAUGUAAUUACCAACAUAUCAAUACAAAGAGAUCAGAUCAGAGAUGUACCUGAGUUUGGAUGUCAACUAUUAAGUUUCUACUAAUAUGCAUCUCCUACUUUUAAGAUAUGAAACGCAACUGUAUUUGCCAUGUUUUUAGCAAUUUCAGAUCUUUCUUCCCUUCUACUCCAAUGGAUUGAUGACAUCAUCUGAACCAUUUAAAAAUGAAACAAACUUACUGAAAAUCUGUAGCCUUAUUGCUGUAUAAAAGAACAUUGUAAUUCAAGUCUUGUAUAGCUCUAAGUUCUGAUUACCAUAGAUAAUCAUACAGUCUAUUGUCAUAAAUCCAAGAAAUAUUCAGAACCUACACAUCUUAAUUCUGAGAGGCGGAAAGGGGUAGAUAUACUAUGAAGCUAAUCUGAGGCUUAUAGCGUGUGUAAUAAAGAAAUAACACACAACAUCCAAAUCCUCUCCAUGAGUAACAUCAACUAAUGUCAUUGGCUAACACUCGGUCAACAAAUAUUAGCUCAGGUAAAAUGGAAAAAAAUUGCUAAGGCCUCACGUAAUCAUCAGUGUGAGCUGUCCUCAAAGUGACCUUAUUGUUUGGUUUUUUACUCUCCGAUGGAAGGAACGCAUCCCAAAUGAAAUAAUUUUGUGGUGUGCCGCUUCAGGAGAUGCAAAUCAGACCUCCUUCCCUAGUUCCCUUCAUUUGGCUCAUAAUCCAGUGAAGAGUAUUGUUGCCAAUAUAGACCUAAAAACUGUUUUUAUUUUAGAGGAGGAAAUUUAGGAUAAGCAUUACCUGCCUCCAUAGUGGACGCAGGAGUGUAGUUCAUCCACUCCGCAACCUCUCCGACGAAGACCCCUGCCUAAUCUGCUUCAAAUUUCCGCCCGUACACAAUCUGUCAACCAUAUUUAUAUUGACAAUUGAUUCACAAAUUAUUCUUAAAAAUACGUGGCAUUAGUUCAAACCGAGGGGAUUCAAGAAAAGCACCGAUCCAUUCUUGUUAUUUUUUAGUGGAACACCCUUUUCAUUAACUUAGCACUUUUAAGAGCUGCAGUACUUGUAGAGUGAGUGGAUCCCAUAAUACUGGACACUGGACUAUUUAAAUCCGUAGCACGAAAAGUUCUAGCGCGGCAUAAAAAAAUCCUCUCCCCUGACUGGAAAAGUGUCUGUCGUCAAUGACGUGUUGUUCAUAAAUCAUCGAGUUGUUUCCAUUUUGUUUCUUUUAUGUUCAGCUUCUUGCAGAGUCGUGCUGCCUCAUUGACAUCUGAUUCAUGCGGUGCUUGUUUUUUAGACCUGCGGAUCUUAACUAAAUGAUUGCAAGAACAUUACUGAAUCUCAAGCAUGAAUGAGCCGGUCCCUUACGCUUCAUAUAUCUCCAACCAAGUACACAUAACUGAAGCCUGCCGACUCUAUGACCAUGAUACUGAUGCUCCAUACACAAAUUUCACUCACAACCCCGUGAUCAAUCAUGAAGAGACCAUAGAAUAAUUCCACUUAAGUAUAGUCACAAGUCUGGACCAUGGAGUGUGUGUUCUCCACGGAUAGCCCAAGGACUGAAUUAAACAGACAAAACAGAAGCAUUCUUAUCAUUCAGUCAAUCAAUAGUAUUUUUGUCAAUUUUUUAACAGAUGUGGCGGUCAUACCCCGAGGUGUCGAUGACAUAUUGACAUUGUUCGCCUCCUUGAUCGGCCACGAGGGGAGAUAACCAAGGCCGGCCUCUGUCGAUUGCAGCCUGGAGGGGAAGCCCGGGACUCGGCGUCUGCAUCCAUGGUGGUGCACAACUUGUGUGGCGGUGUAUGACACGCUUGGCCCAGAGCUACGUCCACCCCGCCGGCGAGCGCAGGGGCGCUCCCCGCCAAGGAUCCAGCUACCCGACCAAUGAGUCAAGCUUGCACGGAGAGGGAGGCGGGGAACGGGUUAUGCGUGGUGGAUCGCGACGGGCUCGCUUUUGAGGAACUGUCCACGCGCCCGUGGUGGAUUGUUUCAGCGAGUGACCUCUGAGGGAGAGCACGGCGACGAAUCAGCACGAGCGAGGAUCUUGGGGCGUGGUGGCUCGACGGUGGCCAACCGAGCGGCACGGGAGGAAGAAGGAGAAGAUUAGGGACAAAUGAGGAGGGGAAGGAGGACAGGGAGGCGGAUGACCGGAGAAGAAGACCGGUCUCCGGCUAUGGAUGGCCGGAGAAGAAGACCGGCCGCCGGCGGUGGCGCCAUGCCCGUGCGAAUCGAGCAGAGCACAGAUCAAAGGGAAGGAGACCCAUGUGUUUACCAAUUAGCCACUCUAGAAAUGACUGCGGGUCGAAUAACCAAAGUAGAGGGUCUUUUGGUGAAAAUAGAAGUUUUCUCAUAUAAUCCACUUAAAAAGGGAUUGUGGGUUUAGUUACCAAAAAGUACAAGGAAACUUUUGCAAAAAUGUCGCGCCGGUGAGCGGGCAGAAGGGAUCGGUGCUUUAUUAUCAGGUAAAGAUAUAGACUACUAUAUGGUUUGAUGUUUAAAAUUAUUAGAAUGAGUUAAUGGUAUUAAAAACUCACACAUAAAUAUUUUCCCUGAAAAUAAAUAGUAAAAUGUUAACAUAUCAGGUCAAAUAAAAACUUUUCGCAUAUACAACAAUAUGUAGCCGAUAUAUCUCACGACAUCUACAAGGGGGGCCCUCUAUUAACGGAUUAAUCACGGAGGUUUAAUUCAAGAAAAUCAUCCAAGGCAGAAUUACAGGGUUAUAUUACCAAAUAAUAUAUAAGAGGUAAAAAUUAAAGGGAUGAGAUCAAAUUAAAGAAAGGCAAAUUUCAAACAAACACUGGAUAAUUCAUUGAUUAGCAAAUCCAACUCAUUCUACAUUUUUGCAUAGGGAAACAUAACCCCAUAUUUUUGUUGACAAAUGAAGAAACCAAGCCAGACUAAGAAAGUCUUGAUGGCGAUCUAAUACACGGUGAAUCUGGUAACGGCCUUGGUUCCCUCGGAGACGGCGUGCUUGGCAAGCUCGCCUGGAAAGACAAGGCGCACAGCAGUCUGGAUCUCCCGGGAGGUGAUGGUGGGCUUCUUGUUGUAGCGUGCGAGCUUUGCCGACUCGCCGGCGAGCUUCUCGAAGAUGUCGUUGAUGAUGGACAUUGAUUUGGAGGAGAUACCCAUGUUCGGGUCAAUCUGCUUGAGCACCUUGAAGAUGUAGAUCUUGUACGUCUCGUUGCUCUUCUUGGCCUUCUUCUUCUUAGUGUCGCCCUCCUUCCCGGGCACGCGCUUCUCCGCCUUGGGCUUCUUCUCUGCGGCUGGCUUCUUCUCGGCCUUGGGCGCCAUGGUGGUUUCUAGGAGGAGAGGCGAGAGAUUGGAUUGGCGGCGCAAAGGUGGGAGAUUUGCGUUUAGGGUUUGAGGUGUGGGUUUGAGGGGACGGGCGGCUGGGAAUAUAUAGGCGUGCGCGAAGGGCAUGAUUGGCGGAGAGGGCUGGGGUUCGGAUCGUUGAGGUGGCAGGGUGUGGGGUGUUGGAUUUGAUGGACCGCCGGAUUUGGGCGCGCGGAUGGGGUGGAUCUGUGUGGGUAGGUGUAACCUUGUGUUUUUGUGGUGAGUUUACACGGUAACCGAAAAUUUGGGAUGUGGAAUUCGAGUGGGAAGGUCUAUUUUGGGUGCUUUGUGAUGGAUUGGAGUGCGAAGGGGGGGUCGCGGGGACUGUGUGGUGAUUUGGAUUUGCUGGGGAUUUUUAAGUGGAAUCGGGAUUGGGUAAAGGGUGUGCAUUCAGUAUUUUUCCGUUUGAUUCGAUUCGGUUUAUUCGGUUUUUGGUUUUUAUGGUUUUAUACAUAGACACGGCUCGGUUCCUAUAAUAACCAUUUAAUUUUGCCUUGGUUUCGAUAAUCUUCUAUAUCUAAAUAGGGGCUCCCCACUAGCUGAUUUGCAUGCCUUCUCAUGAAGCCACAUCAUCCAAAUUGUUCUAGUCGUUGAUGCAGCAUAGAUCGGUGGUCUACAGCCGUUUGAUUAAGUGUUUGCCAAAUUUACUAAGAGUUGUCACCGCUAAGUGAACAUACCGUUUCGUACUUCGCCAUAGCGCUCGCUGCUGGCCUCCAAUUCCAUUUCUUGGGAUGGGCGUACAUGAUUUGGACACUAAAAGGCCCAUUCGAAGCCCACAGGCAUAUAUCGUUCAGGAUGCUACGAGCCUUACGACCCGCCCCCUUCCGUCAAGGAUUGCUAAAAAACCUUCAUCAAGCCACCGCCGCACACAUCCCUUCCAGUGACCGCCGCGCGUUGCCUUUCCGCUGCUCCAUUGAUGAGCAUUAACUCCAAAUUCGUUCGUCUUCUCCGCUUUUAUGUCACAAUUUCUUCCACCUCCGUGCCACAAAUGCCAUGAAACCGCCUCGCAGCACUCAAAUUACGGCCCUCGUUAUCUUCUGCUUAAUUACCCUGCAAAUGCGUGCAAAGUUGUGUUUAUAAACCCUCUGUACUGCCAUACUCAUCGACCACGAACGCCUGCUCACAUCCACGUCUGGGAACAUGAUCUAUCUUGGGGUAUGGAUGGAACUUCAUGCAGAAGGGCAUCAACAUCCUCGAGGGUAAGCUGGAGCCACAGUUCAGCUCCAAGGAAUAGAUGAUGCUCUGCACUAAGUCGCCUCCUUCCCCACCUCCCUCCGGCCAUGCCUAGGCUUGGCCCGAUUUGAUCUGAUCCGUGUUGAUCUAGAGUUUAUGCGCCCCUCCUGUUUGUCUUUUUUGUUGUGCAGCGGGAUAUACUCGCAACAGCUGUACGACCAGUACUGCAAGUCCGUUGAGGAGUACAUCCGAGCAACGGUGAGUUUAUUUGCAGCUAUUGCGGAUAUGUACAUGACUGUUGUGUGGUCAGAUUAUCCCCUGUUUUCUGUGUGUGUUGGUCCUGUUGAUUUCUGGUCCAAUGAACCAAGGAGAAUCUGAUUGUUUUUUGGUUUCGAACAUGCACAGAUGGGUUUGCCUUUGUGUACUUUUUGGGGUUCAGGUGGAGCGUUAUGGUCGGUUGUUUUACUGGCUGGGAAUGACUACAUGCUCAUCUUAGUAUCUUAGUAUGUACUACCCACAUAAUCAUAUCCCGUUAAAUUAUUUUGUUCUUUAUUCACAAAAAAUAAAUAUUAUUUUUUGUUUCAGUAUAUACUACUAUCUUUUAUGCAGUAGGUGUAACCGGUCUAAUACCCCUUAAUUUAAAUUAGUGCAUAGUGAUUUUGCUUUCUACCUGACAAUGUGCUUUAGGUAUCAAGAAGUUGGAAAAGUGAAGCUGCAUUCUGACUGCUUGGACGAGUCCUCAGUCUAGCCCCCAUCGUCCUCAAGUUGUAGGUACGUCGGCUCUCACUUGGCAUAUCUGAUGUGUGCAUUGUUGGGGAACGUAGUAAUUUUAAAAAAUUCCUACGCACACGCAAGAUCAUGGUGAUGCAUAGCAACGAGAGGGGAGAGUGUUGUCCAGGUACCCUCGUAGACCGAAAACGGAAGCGUUAGCACAACGCGGUUGAUGUAGUCGUACGUCUUCACGAUCCGACCGAUCAAGUACCGAACAUACGGCACCUCCGAGUUCAGCACACGUUCAACCCGAUGACGUCCCUCGAACUCCGAUCCAGCCGAGUGUUGAGGGAGAGUUUCGUCAGCACGACAGCGUGGUGACGAUGAUGAUGUUUUACCGACGCAGGGCUUCGCCUAAGCACCGCUACAGUAUUAUCGAGGUGGACUAUGGUAGAGGGGGGCACCGCACACGGCCAAAGAUCAAACGAUCAAUUGUUGUGUCCUUGGGGUGCCCCCCUGCCCCCGUAUAUAAAGGAGCAAGGGGGGGAGGUGCGGCCGGCCGGGGAGGAGGUGCGCCAGGAGGAGUCCUACUCCCACCGGGAGUAGGACUCCCUCCCUUCCUUGUUGGACUAGGAGAGGAGAGGGAAGGAGAGAGGGCGGAAGGAAAGGGGGGCGCCCCCCCCCUCAUUGUCCAAUUCGGACUUGGGGGGGAGGGGCGCGCGGCUGCCCCUUGGCCGCCUCUCCUCUUCCACCAAUUGGGCCCAUGAGGCCCAAUAGCCUCCGGGGGGUUCCGGUAACCCCCCGGUACUCCAGUAUAUAUCCGAUAACCCCCGGAACCAUUCUGGUGUCCGAAUAUAGUCAUCCAAUAUAUCAAUCUUCAUGUCUCGACCAUUUCGAGACUCCUUGUCAUGUUCGUGAUCACAUCCGGGACUCCAAACAACCUUCGGUACAUCAAAACAUAUAAACUCAUAAUAUAAUUGUCAUCGAAACGUUAAGCGUGCGGACCCUACGGGUUUGAAAACUAUGUAGACAUGACCGAGUCACGUCUCCGGUCAAUAACCAAUAGCGGAACCUGGAUGCUCAUAUUGGCUCCCACAUAUUCUACGAAGAUCUUUAUCGGUCAGACCGCAUAACAACAUACGUUGUUCCCUUUGUCAUCGGUACGUUACUUGCCCGAGAUUCGAUCGUCGGUAUCUCAAUACCUAGUUCAAUCUCGUUACCGGCAAGUCUCUUUACUCGUUCCGUAAUACAUCAUCCCACAAUUAACUCAUUAGUUGCAAUGCUUGCAAGGCUUAAGUGAUGUGCAUUACCGAGAGGGCCCAAAGAUACCUCUCCGACAAUCGGAGUGACAAAUCCUAAUCUCGAAAUACGCCAACCCAACAAGUACCUUUGGAGACACUUGUAAAGCACCUUUAUAAUCACCCAGUUACGUUGUGACGUUUGGUAGCACACAAAGUGUUCCUCCGGUAAACGGGAGUUGCAUAAUCUCAUAGUCAUAGGAACAUGUAUAAGUCAUGAAGAAAGCAAUAGCAACAUACUAAACGAUUGAGUGCUAAGCUAACGGAAUGGGUCAAGUCAAUCACAUCAUUCUCCUAAUGAUGCGAUCCCGUCAAUCAAAUGACAACUCAUGCCUAUGGCUAAGAAACAUAACCAUCUUUGAUCAACGAGCUAGUCAAGUAGAGGCAUACUAGUGACACUCUGUUUGUCUAUGUAUUCACACAUGUAUCAUGUUUCCGGUUAAUACAAUUCUAGCAUGAAUAAUAAACAUUUAUCAUGAUAUAAGGAAAUAAAUAAUAACUUUAUUAUUGCCUCUAGGGCAUAUUUCCUUCAGUCUCCCACUUGCACUAGAGUCAAUAAUCUAGUUCACAUCGCUAUGUGAUUUAACAUCAAUCGUUCACAUCUUUAUGUGGUUAACACCCAUAGUUCACAUCGACAUGUGACCAACACCCAAAGGGUUUACUAGAGUCAGUAAUCUAGUUCACAUCGCUAUGUGAUUAACACCCAAAGAGUACUAAGGUGUGAUCAUGUUUUGCUUGUGAGAUAAUUUUAGUCAACGGGUCUGUCACAUUCAGAUCCGUAAGUAUUUUGCAAAUUUCUAUGUUUACAAUGCUCUGCACGGAGCUACUUUAGCUAAUUGCUCCCACUUUUCAAUAUGUAUCUGGAUUGUGACUUAGAGUCAUCCAGAUCGGUGUCAAAGCUUGCAUCGACGUAACUCUUUACAACGAACUCCUUAUCACCUCCAUAACCGAGAAAUAUAUCCUUAUUCCGCAAAGGAUAAUUUUGACCGUUGUCCAGUGAUCUACUCCUAGAUCACUAUUGUACUCCCUUGCCAAAAUCAGUGCAGGGUAUACAAUAGAUCUGGUACAUAGCAUGGCAUACUUUAUAGAACCUAUGGCUGAGGCAUAGGGAAUGACUUUCAUUCUCUUUCUAUCUUCUGCCGUGGUCGGGCUUUGAGUCUUACUCAAUUUCACACCUUGUAACACAGGAAAGAACUCUUUCUCUGACUGUUCCAUUUUGAACUAUUUCAAAAUCUUGUCAAGGUAUGUACUCAUUGAAAAAAAACUUAUCAAGUGUCUUGAUCUAUCUCUAUAGAUCUUGAUGCUCAAUAUGUAAGCACCUUCACCGAGGUCUUUCUUUGAAAAACUCCUUUCAAACACUCCUUUAUGCUUUGCAGAAUAAUUCUACAUUAUUUCUGAUCAACAAUAUGUCAUUCACAUAUACUUAUCAGAAAUGUUGUAGUGCUCCCACUCACUUUCUUGUAAAUACAGGCUUCACCGCAAGUAUGUAUAAAACUAUAUGCUUUGAUCAACUCAUCAAAGCGUAUAUUCCAACUCCGAGAUGUUUGCACCAGUCCAUAGAUGGAUCGCUGGAGCUUGCACAUUUUGUUAGCACCUUUAGGAUCGACAAAACCUUCUGGUUGCAUCAUAUACAACUCUUCUUUAAGAAAUCCAUUAAGGAACGUAGUUUUGACAUCCAUUUGCCAGAUUUCAUAAAAUUUGGCAAUUUGCUAACAUGAUUCGGACAGACUCAAGCAUCGCUAUGACUGAGAAAAUCUCAUCGUAGUCAACACCUUGAACUUUGUCAAAAACCUUUUUUCGACAAGUCUAGCUUUGUAGAUAGUAAUACUACUAUCAGUGUCUAUCUUCCUCUUGAAGAUCCAUUUAUUUUCUAUGGCUUGCCGAUCAUCGGGCAAGUCAACCAAAGUCCACACUUUGUUCUCAUACAUGGAUCCCAUCUCAGAUUUCAUGGCCUCAAGCCAUUUUUGCGGAAUCUGGGCUCAUCAUCGCUUCCUCAUAGUUCGUACGUUCGUUAUGGUCAAGUAACAUGACCUCCAGAACAGGAUUACCGUACCACUCUGGUGCGGAUCAAACUCUGGUUUACCUACGAGGUUCGGUAGUAACUUGAUCUGAAGUUACAUGAUCAUCAUCAUUAGCUUCCUCGCUAGUUGGUGUAGUAGUCACAGGAACAGAUUUCUGUGAUGAACUAUUUUCCAAUAAGGGAGCAGGUACAGUUACCUCAUCAAGUUCUACUUUCCUCCCGCUCACUUCUUUCGAGAGAAACUCCUUCUCUAGAAAGGAUCCAUUCUUAGCAACGAAUAUCUUGCCUUCGGAUCUGUGAUAGAAGGUGUACCCAACUGUCUUCUUUGGGUAUCCUAUGAAGACACAUUUCUCCGAUUUGGGUUUUAGCUUAUCAGGAUGAAACUUUUCUUAUAAGCAUCGCAACCCAAACUUUAAGAAACGACAACUUUGGUUUCUUGCCAAACCACAGUUCAUACGGUGUUGUCUCAACGGAUUUAGAUGGUGCCCUUUUUAACGUGAAUGCAGCUGUCUCUAAUGCAUAACCCCAAAACUAUAGUGGUAAAUCAGUAAGAAACAUCAUAGAUUGCACUAUAUCCAAUAAAGUACGGUUAUGACGUUCGGACACACCAUUACGCUGUGGUGUUCCACAUGGCGUGAGUUGCGAAUCUAUUCCGCAUUGUUUCAAAUGAAGACCAAACUCGUAACUCAAAUAUUCUCCUCCACGGUCAGAUCGUAGAAACUUUAUUUUCUUGUUACGAUGAUUUUCCACUUCACUCUGAAAUUAUAUGAAAUUUUCAAAUGUUUCAGACUUUAUGUUUCAUCAAGUAGAUAUACCCAUAUCUACUCAAAACAUCUGUGAAGGUCUGAAAAAUAACGAUACCUGCAGUGAGCCUCAAUAUUCAUUGGACCACAUACAUCAGUAUGUAUGAUUUCCAACAAAUCUGUUGCUCGCUCCAUUGUUCCGGAGAACGGAGUCUUAGUCAUCUUGCCCACGAGGCAUGGUUCGCAAGCAUCAAGUGAUUCAUAAUCAAGUGAUUCCAAAAACCCAUCAGCAUGGAGUUUCUUCAUGCGCUUUACACCAAUAUGACCUAAACGGCAGUGCCACAAAUAAAUUGCACUAUCAUUAUUAACUUUGCAUCUUUUGGCUUCAAUAUUAUGAAUGUGUGUAUCACUAUGAUCGAGAUCCAACAAACCAUUUUCAUUGGUGUGUAUGACCAUAGAAGGUUUUAUUCAUCUAAACAGAACAACAAUUGUUCUCUAACUUAAAUGAAUAACCGUAUUGCAAUAAACAUGAUCAAAUCAUAUUCAUGCUCAACGCAAACACCAAAUAACACUUAUUUAGGUUCAACACUAAUCCCGAAAGUAUAGGGAGUGUGCGAUGAUGAUCAUAUCAAUCUUGGAACCACUUCCAACACACAUCGUCACUUCACCCUUAACUAGUCUCUGUUUAUUCUGCAACUCCCGUUUCAAGUUACUAAUCUUUAGCAAUUGACCUAGUAUCAAAUACUGAGGGGUUGCUAUAAACACUAGUAAAGUACACAUCAAUAACAUGUAUAUCAAAUAUACCUUUGUUCACUUUGCCAUCCUUCUUAUCCGCCAAAUACUUGGGGCAGUUCCGCUUCCAGUGACCAGUCCCUUUGCAGUAGAAGCACUUAGUCUCAGGCUUAGGUCCAGACUUGGGUUUCUUCACUUGAGCAGCAACUUGCUUGCCGUUCUUCUUUGAAGUUCCCCUUCUUCCCUUUGCCCUUUUCUUGAAACUAGUGGUCUUGUCAACCAUCAACACUUGAUGCUUUUCUUGAUUUCUACCUUCGUUGAUUUCAGCAUCACGAAGAGCUUGGGAAUCGUUUCCGUUAUCCCUUGCAUAUUAUAGUUCAUCACGAAGUUCUAGUAACUUGGUGAUAGUGACUAGAGAACUCUGUCAAUCACUAUCUUAUCUGGAAGAUUAACUCCCACUUGAUUGAAGUGAUUGUAGUACUCAGACAUUCUGAGCACAUGCUCACUAGCUAAGCAAUUCUCCUCCAUCUUGUAGGCAAAGUACUGUCAGAGGUCAAAUACCUCUCGACACGGGCAUGAGUAUGAAAUACCAAUUUCAACUCUUGGAACAUCUUAUAUGCUCCGUGGCGUUUCAAAACAUUUUUUAAGUCCCGGUUCUAAGCCGUAGAGCAUGGUGCACUAAACUAUCAAGUAGUCAUCAUACCGAGCUUUUGUCAAACGUUCAUAACGUCUGCAUCUUCUCCUGCAAUAGGUCUGUCACCUAGCGGUGCAUUAAGGACAUAAUUCUUCUGUGCAGCAAUGAGGAUAAUCCUUAGAUCACGGACCCAGUCCGCAUCAUUGCUACUAUCAUCUUUCAACUUAGUUUUCUCUAGGAACAUGUAUAAACAUAGGGAAGCAACAACGCGAGCUAUUGAUCUACAACAUAGAUAUGCUAAUACUACCAGGACUAAGUUCAUGAAUAAAUUAAAGUUCAAUUAAUCAUAUUACUUAAGAACUCCCACUUAGAUAGACAUCCCUCUAAUCCUCUAAGUGAUCACGUGAUCCAUAUCAACCAAACCAUGUCCGAUCAUCACGUGAGAUGGAGUAGUUUCAACGAUGAACAUCACUAUGUUGAUCAUAUCUACUAUAUGAUUCACGCUCGACCUUUCGGUCUCCGUGUUCUGAGGCCAUAUCUGUUAUAUGCUAGGCUCGUUAAGCUUAACCUGAGUAUUCCACGUGUGCAACUGUUUUGCACCCGUUGUAUUUGAACGUAGAGCCUAUCACACCCGAUCAUCACGUGGUGUCUCAGUACGAAGAACUUUCGCAACGGUGCAUACUCAGGGAGAACACUUAUACUUUGAUAAUUUAGUGAGGGAUCAUCUUAUAAUGCCACCGUCAAUCAAAGCAAGAUAAGAUGCAUAAAAGAUAAACAUCACAUGCAAUCAAUAUAAGUGAUAUGAUAUGGCCAUCAUCAUCUUGUGCUUGUGAUCUCCAUCUCCGAAGCACCGUCAUGAUCACCAUCGUCACCGGCGCGACACCUUGAUCUUCAUCGUAGCAUCGUUGUCGUCUCGCCAAUCUUAUGCUUCUACGACUAUCGCAACCGCUUAGUGAUAAAGUAAAGCAUUACAGGGCGAUUGCAUUGCAUACAAUAAAGCGACAACCAUAUGGCUCCUGCCAGUUGCCGAUAACUCGGUUACAAAACAUGAUCAUCUCAUACAAUAAAAUUUAGCAUCAUGUCUUGACCAUAUCACAUCACAACAUGCCCUGCAAAAACAAGUUAGACGUCCUCUACUUUGUUGUUGCAACUUUUACGUGGCUGCUAUGGGCUUAGCAAGAACCGUUCUUACCUACGCAUCAAAACCACAACGAUAGUUUGUCAAGUUGGUGCUGUUUGAACCUUCGCAAGGACCGGGCAUAGCCACACUCGGUUCAACUAAAGUUGGAGAAACUGACACCCGCCAGCCACCUGUGUGCAAAGUGUUGGAAAUAUGCCCUAGAGGCAAUAAUAAAUUGGUUAUUAUUAUAUUUCCUUGUUCAUGAUAAUCGUUUAUUAUCCAUGCUAGAAUUGUAUUGAUAGGAAACUCAGAUACAUGUGUGGAUACAUAGACAACACCAUGUCCCUAGUAAGCCUCUAGUUGACUAGCUCGUUGAUCAAUAGAUGGUUACGGUUUCCUGACCAUGGACAUUGGAUGUCGUUGAUAACGGGAUCACAUCAUUAGGAGAAUGAUGUGAUGGACAAGACCCAAUCCUAAGCCUAGCACAAGAUCGUGUAGUUCGUUUGCUAAGAGCUUUUCUAAUGUCAAGUAUCAUUUCCUUAGACCAUGAGAUUGUGCAACUCCCGGAUACCGUAGGAAUGCUUUGGGUGUACCAAACGUCACAACGUAACUGGGUGGCUAUAAAGGUGCACUACAGGUAUCUCCGAAAGUGUCUGUUGGGUUGGCACAAAUCGAGACUGGGAUUUGUCACUCCGUGUAAACGGAGAGGUAUCUCUGGGCCCACUCGGUAGGACAUCAUCAUUAUGUGCACAAUGUGACCAAGGAGUUGAUCACGGGAUGAUGUGUUACGGAACGAGUAAAGAGACUUGCCGGUAACGAGAUUGAACAAGGUAUCGGGAUACCGACGAUCGAAUCUCGGGCAAGUAACAUACCGAUAGACAAAGGGAAUUGUAUACGGGAUUGAUUGAAUCCUCGACAUCGUGGUUCAUCCGAUGAGAUCAUCGAGGAGCAUGUGGGAGCCAACAUGGGUAUCCAGAUCCCGCUGUUGGUUAUUGACCGGAGAGUCGUCUCGGUCAUGUCUGCGUGUCUCCCGAACCCGUAGGGUCUACACACUUAAGGUUCGGUGACGCUAGGGUUAUAGAGAUAUUAGUAUGUGGUAACCCGAAAGUUGUUCGGAGUCCCGGAUGAGAUCCCGGACAUCACGAGGAGUUCCGGAAUGGUCCGGAGGUAAAGAUUUAUAUAUGGGAAGUCUUAUUUUGGUCGCCGGAAAAGUUUUGCGCAUUAUCGGUAUUGUACCGGGAGUGCCGAAAGGGGUCCGGGGGUCCACCAAGGGGGUCCACCAGCCCCGGGGGGCCACAUGGGCUGUAGGGGUGUGCGCCUUGGCCUAUAUGGGCCAAGGGCACCAGCCCCAAGAGGCCCAUGCGCCAAGAGAUAAGGGGGAAGGCACCUCCGAGGUGCCUUGGGGAGGAUGGGACUCCUCCCUGGUCGCACCCUUCCUUGGAGGAAGGGCCAAGGCUGCGCCCCCCCCCCCCCUCUCCCUUGGCCCUAUAUAUAGUGGGGGAGGGAGGGCAGCAAUAUCUAAGCCCUGGCACCUCCCUCUCCCUCCUGUGACACAUCUCCCUCCUCCCGCAGCGCUUGGCGAAGCCCUGUUGGAAUCCCGCUACUUCCACCACCACGCCGUCGUGCUGCUGGAUCUCCAUCAACCUCUCCUCCCCCCUUGCUGGAUCAAGAAGGAGGAGACGUCGCUGCUCCGUACGUGCGUUGAACGCGGAGGUGCCGUCCGUUCGGCGCUAGGAUCAUCGGUGAUUUGGAUCACGACGAGUACGACUCCAUCAACCCCGUUCUCUCGAACGCUUCCGCUCGCGAUCUACAAGGGUAUGUAGAUGCACUCCUUCCCUCUCGUUGCUAGUAAACUCCAUAGAUUGAUCUUGGUGAUGCGUAGAAAAUUUUGAAUUUCUGCUACGUUCCCCAACACAAAGCACGUCGGUAGAACCAGUCUCGCGUAAGCGUACGCGUAAUGUCGGUCCGGGCCGCUUCAUCCAACAAUACCGCCGAACCAAAGUAUGACAUGCUGGUAAGCAGUAUGACUUAUAUCGCCCACAACUCACUUGUGUUCUACUCGUGCAUAUAACAUCAAUGCAUAAAACCUGGCUCUGAUGCCACUGUUGGGGAACGUAGUAAUUUCAAAAAAAAUUCUACGCACACGCAAGAUCAUGGUGAUGCAUAGCAACGAGAGGGGAGAGUGUUGUCCACGUACCCUCGUAGACCGAAAGCGGAAGCGUUAGCACAACGCAGUUGAUGUAGUCAUACGUCUUCACGAUCAGACCGAUCAAGUACCGAACGCACGGCACCUCCGAGUUCAGCACACGUUCAGCCCGAUGACGUCCCUCGAACUCCGAUCCAGCCGAGUGUUGAGGGAGAGUUUUGUCAGCACGACGGCGUGGUGACGAUGAUGAUGUUCUACCGACGCAGGGCUUCGCCUAAGCACCUCUACAGUAUUAUCGAGGUGGACUAUGGUGGUGGGGGGCACCGCACACGGCUAAAAGAUCAAACGAUCAAUUGUUGUGUCCUUGGGGUGCCCUCCUGCCCCCGUAUAUAAAGGAGCAUGGGGGGAGGUGCGGCCGACCAGGGAGGAGGCGCGCCAGGAGGAGUCCUACUCCCACCGGGAGUAGGACUCCCUCCCUUCCUUGUUGGACUAGGAGAGGAGAGGGAAGGAGAGAGGGGGGAAGGAAAGGGGGGCGCCCCCCCCCCUCAUUGUCCAAUUCGGACUUGGGGGGAGGGGCGCGCGGCUGCCCCUUGGCCGCCUCUCCUCUUCCACCAAUUGGGCCCAUGAGGCCCAAUAGCCUCCGGGGGGUUCCCGUAACCCCCCGGUACUCCGGUAUAUAUCCGAUAACCCCCGGAACCAUUCCGGUGUCCGAAUAGUCAUCCAAUAUAUCAGUCUUCAUGUCUCGACCAUUUCGAGACUCCUCGUCAUGUCCAUGAUCACAUCCGGGACUCCGAACAACCUUCGGUACAUCAAAACAUAUAAACUCAUAAUAUAACUGUCAUCGAAACGUUAAGCGUGCGGACCCUACGGGUUCGAAAACUAUGUAGACAUGACCGAGACACGUCUCCGGUCAAUAACCAAUAGUGGAAUCUGGAUGCUCAUAUUGGCUCCCACAUAUUCUACGAAGAUCUUUAUCGGUCAGACCGCAUAACAACAUAUGUUGUUCCCUUUGUCAUCAGUAUGUUACUUGCCCGAGAUUCGAUCGUCGUUAUCUCAAUACCUAGUUCAAUCUCGUUACCGGCAAGUCUCUUUACUCGUUCCGUAAUACAUCAUCCCACAACUAACUCAUUAGUUGCAAUGCUUGCAAGGCUUAAGUGAUGUGCAUUACCGAGAGGGCCCAGAGAUACCUCUCCGACAAUCGGAGUGACAAAUCCUAAUCUCGAAAUACGCCAACCCAACAAGUACCUUUGGAGACACCUGUAGAGCACCUUUAUAAUCACCCAGUUACGUUGUGACGUUUGGUAGCGCACAAAGUGUUCCUCCGGUAAACGGGAGUUGCAUAAUCUCAUAGUCAUAGGAACAUGUAUAAGUCAUGAAGAAAGCAAUAGCAACAUACUAAAUGAUCGAGUGCUAAGCUAACGGAAUGGGUCAAGUCAAUCACAUCAUUCUCCUAAUGAUGUGAUCCCGUUAAUCAAAUGACAAUUCAUGUCUAUGGCUAGGAAACAUAACCAUCUUUGAUCAACGAGCUAGUCAAGUAGAGGCAUACUAGUGACACUCUGUUUAUCUAUGUAUUCACACAUGUAUCAUGUUUCCGGUUAAUACAAUUCUAGCAUGAAUAAUAAACAUUUAUCAUGAUAUAAGGAAAUAAAUAAUAACUUUAUUAUUGCCUCUAGGGCAUAUUUCCUUCAUGCAUUCAAUCACCUCUUCGUCGGCUUCUAGCAUGGUAAUCGUAGUGUUUCUUUGGUGAGUUAGCUAACUAUGCAGCUAGGGAGGAAGCCAUCUAGGCUGCUCAGUUCUCGGUGAUCAGUGUACGAGCAGGGACAGCUACAAUUUGGUGGACCUGCUUAUGCCACUUCUCCCUUUCUACCUUCACAGCUGAUCUGGGUGUCGGUGUCUCAGCUCCCCCAUACUGCAUGGUAACUGAGAUGUGCGCGAUUUGAGCCAAGCGCCAUGGAUGUAGUCUCAUUUCUGGACCGUCUGCUUUUACUUUUUCAUUAGUAUACUUCUGAUGCUAACUUAAUGAUCAUCCUCUAUUUCUGGUUGAAGGUUUUCAUUAUCGCAUAUUCAAAUUUACAUUGGACAUGUAUAUACGUAUUUCCUGAUGGAAUAAUUUUUCUUUGUCUGACUUUUCAUUUGUGCUAUAUAGUUAACCAUUAGUUUGCACCUCAAUAAUGGUCUUUUGUUUGUUCUUGAUACUUGCAGGUUACUGAUUGUUGGAUUUGCUGAAUUGGUAGAUUUUUAGUUCAGUUAAACACUACUGGACUGCUGAAUUGGUGACCUUCCUAUACAAGUUUUGUGUAUGCGGCAACAUUUUUUUUGGCUCCAAUAGUUAUUUUGUUCUAGAAGAUAUUUAAUGAAUUACCGUCAUUUUGACGAUAACCGGACAGGCAUUGAUCGAACAUCCAAAUUUAUACCUUUUACAUUUGACUACUGCUGUGCUGAUUUGGAUGCACUAUUUUCAUGUAUAUAACAUGCAAGUGUUAUCAUUUUCUUCGUUUUAGAUUCUUUGUAUAAACACUACUGUUACCAUUCGAGGAAAGCAGUGCUUUUGUAUGCACAUACGGUUAAAUGAAGGUCAAGGUAUGGUGGCAGUCCCCAUUCUAGAAGAAUGCAGAGUAUUACUACAAGAUUUCGAGAAGGUUACUAUUGAGCAUUGUAAUAGAGAAUCGAAUGUUGUUGCUCAUGAGCUAGCUAGAUGGGGUAGUGCAAACACUCCCUCUAUAUGGGUGGAUGCACCCCGGAUUUUAUUGUAAAACUCUUAGCGAACGAUGUACGUAUUAUUGAGUAAUAAAGCUAGGCAUGAAGGCCUUCCCUAAAAAGAUAUGUUUUCCCCACAAAAGGGUAAUGUUUUGAUGCACAGGAAAGUAGCUAUUUUCUUUGCACGGAUUACUUCUCCACAUUAUAAAUUUAAGCAAAACUAUUCUGCAGCAACGCGCGGGGAAUCACCUAGUAACCAAAGUUGACGUGAACUUUUGAACAACAAAUAAUUUUUAGUCACAUGAUUCGGUUUAUGUAUGUAGGUUAGAGUUUUCUUGUGAGAACUGCACGAGGGGGGGUGCCGACUUUUGUUGAGUUUUGAGGGUUUUAGGAUAUGGAGCGGUGGGAAUAUCACCAUAGGCUAGCUUUCUGCAACAUGGCCCUUGUUGCAAUUCUACGGAGCGCAAGAGAGGGUUUGUUGCAUACAGGUAAACAAAGUCAACCUAGCGUCUUCCAUGCCCCCGAUCGGAUCGAAAGCAACGUACUCCACAUAGCAUUAUUCCAUCUGGCCAGUCGCCGGGAGCGUCAUCACCAGCGAGCCGUGCGUCCGCCGUUGUGCCCCUUCCCUUCCUCCUCCACCUCUCUUCUCCUCACAUUUGCAGGCAACCACAAACGCUAGGUGCCGCCAUGGCCGACCUCAUCUUCUGACCAUCACGGACUACGGCACCGACAAUGGGACGUCGCCAGAUCUGGCCAGACACGACCGCCGAUGAUGCACCAUCGCUGAAUCUGGCAAGGCACAACCACCCACGACGCGCCGUCGUCGGAUCAUCUCACCCUGCGACGUCGCGGCCACCACGGCAGCCGUCACGGCCGGCUCCGGUCAUCAUUACCACGUGCCCUACCUCCCUUGCAGCCUUGUCACCCUGCAACAGGGGUCAUGUUGCAAUUGCAACAUAACUCUUGUUGCAAUCUCGAUGGACACAAGCGAGCUACAGUGUUUUUUCGCAACAUUUUUUUGCAACAAGGCUUUUGUUUCAAGAUAUUUUUCUGCAACAAGGGUCUUCUUUCCAUCAUGAGCUCAGGUUGGAUGGCCGGCGACCCAGCCGGUCUUUUUAAAAGAUCAGCCAGCGAACGAGCACUCCCCUUUUUAUAGGAGUUAAAAGGUUUUGAGAGUUGCUUAACCCCUUAAAAGGAAGCGAAACGAUGUCCCUCAGUCGAUUGAUUACUUCACGCGCGUCGAUCGUCUCCACAGCCGUCUGAUCCGAGUUUUAUCGGGCAGCCAUUAGCACAUGCCCGAUGUCACAUACGUCUUGCGGUACGACUCAUGUUGCAGACUGGCCAAGCAUAACAUGGGGUCUGUUGUGGAUAGGUCGACUAGAGAGAGAGAGAGAGAGGCGCUGACGAUGGGCUCUGCAACACGACUCGUUUCGGACAGUCUGAGCGCAACAUGACUCGUAUCACAAUGGUGAAAAAUCUUAGGAACGAACAUAGUUCAUGUUGUAAACCCCGAGCACAACACGACCCGUCUUGCAUCUAGAUGGGGGACAAAUGCAGGAACUUCCUGCAGUCACAAUACAUGUCAUGUUUUUGAACACAGUACAGACGCAAGCGCUCAUAUACACGCACAUACACUCACCCCAUGAACGCACGCACGCACGCACACCCUACCCCUAUGAGUAUCUCCGAAAGACUGAGCCGGCAUAUCAUCUUGAAAUUUACGAAGUCACCGUAGGCACCUCGUGGUCGACGGGAAUGUCUCCUCUCGCCAGAAAUACUGAUAUAAAUUCAGGAAUAAAUGCGAGCAUCAGAAUUUAAACCCUAGUAGGCUGGGGAUACCAUAGUCCCUCUAACCAUCCAACCACAGAUUGGUUCGCCAAUACAUGUCAUGUUGCAUUGAUAAAUAAACGCUUCAGUACAAAGCACAACACGUCUCAUGUUACAAACCCCCAAACACAAAACGCUUAACUCAUGUUACAAACCCCGAGCGCAAAACGUUGUUGAAGCGCAACACGCCUCAUGUCACAAGGGAAUGUAUCUGGUGCACCGGGGCAAUUGGUGCUACCGGUGCACCGAUCCCCCGUUACACAUUCAAAAAUGUUCAAAAAAAUCCGUAAAAGAAUUAGUGCAUUGGCACAACAUCAAUGUAAGAUGUCACAAAAAUUUGAAUCAAAAUUCGAAACAUUGCUCAAGAUACAAAAAUGACAAAUUUGACACUGAAUAGUACAUAACACAAGUUGGGCUUCAGUUUUGGCCCAUCAGCACAUUGAUGUCAAAUUUGUCAUUUUUGUAUCUUGAGCAAUGUUUCGAAUUUUGAUUCAAAUUUUUGUGACAACUUACAUAGAUGUUGUGUCAAUGCACUAAAUUUUUGUUGGAUUUUUUCGAACAUUUUUAAAUGUGCAACGGAGUCCGGUGCAACGGUAGCACCAAUUGCCCCAGUGCACCGGAUACGUUCCCCAUGUCACAAACCCCCGAGCGCAACAAGAGCCGUGUUGCCAACGGCUGGAGACAUGGCCUGUUGACGCGACGGGUAUGAGACGACCGUCGUCCGCUGGCACUGACCGGGCACUCCUUAAAAAAAUGCAAACCACAUCCAUACAAACUCAUGCAACUACGUCGACGCACACGCAUUGUCCGGCUACUCCAUCACACUACACUAAACAUGCCAUCGGACUACCCAAAUUUGGCAUGUUUGUUAUGGUGAAGUUCAUCCACGGCUGCCCUUACCCUUCCUGACGCCAUUGCCGUCCUUCUCGCGGAAGUACCGGUCAAAGACGCAGUACGGAUCGAGCCGGAUCUGCUCGUUGCUGGAGCUGUCCUCGCCGUCGCUGUCCUCAUUCGGUGGCAGUCCGGCCAUGACACGGACCGCCCGAUUUUGCUCUCGGGCAAGGGCGCGCGUGUUCCUCCGCUGCCGUUUCUUCACAAUGCGGGCGCGGAUGGCUUCCUCCUCUGCGGCCGCCCGCGUCGCUGCAUCAGCCGCCUCCGUCGUCGUCAUUUCCUCCGCGAUAUGGGCCUCGAAGACCCUUAUCCUCUCCUUCCCAUGGCGGGCCGCCCCAUUCCCGGUGGGACUCACUCUACCCGACCGAUGAUGGGGAAGGACAGGUGUUCCGGCCGGGACCGCGAGGAUCUGGCACCAGAGGACCUAAGCACCCGGUAAGCCGACGCUAUGGUGUCGCGGCGGACGGAUCCGUCCGUCGGUCGGGCGCUGUCCUCCCUGGAGCGGCGGAGUGCAAUGUGGACUGCCAUUGCCUCCUCCAACCCACACGGGAUGACAACCCAAUCGACGGAUCCGGACUGGUCGGAGUCCGAUCCGCUGGCUGCCAUGGUGGAGAAGGCCGGAAAUCACCGGAGGUGAGCUCGGGGGCGGAGGGAGUGGAGUGAAGUGGCUAAGGUUUUCUCCGGCGAGAGGAUGGGGACAAAUAUAAGUGGGGCCAGGUGGGCCAGCAUGGGCUGGGUCCGACGGGUGGGCAGGCCCGGGCGCGCCCGGGCGCCCAUAUCCGUCCCAUAUUUGUGCUGGAUAUGGGGGGUGCCGGUCAGCCCGGGCGUUUGAGGCCCGUUUGAGGCGUCCGUCUAGGUCAAAAAAACAUGACCAUAAGUGACCGGGCAGCCCGCCCGGGCAUAUGAGACGGAUUUGAGAGGUCCGGUUGUAGAUGCUCUAAGCCCCACAUCUCAUAGAUACAAAAGGUGUGAUAAGAUUUCUUUAGACAAGUCAAAGUGUGGCUAAGAAUUUGAGCAGCUCAAGUGAGACAAGUAUGGCAAAUAGUAUGGUAAGGAUAGUCACAAUCCAAACAGGCACUUGUAAAAUUUUAAGAUGACAUGCCGGCUUAGUCUCUCGAAGAUGCGCAGGUGCGCUCAUAGGAUGAGUAUGCCCGACACGUAGCGCCCUGAAAAAAAUCAAAGAAAAUCUUUUAAGGAGUUAUAAGCGCUUUUCAGAGUUCGAUUAGACACGUCUUAAGACUUCCCCGCAGGGAGCGCGGCGUUUCGCGGGGAAGACCUUUUCUCCGCCGCCGUUGCUUCCCCCCUCGCUCGGAUCGCGGCGCCGGCACGCGCGAAGCCGGCGGUGGCCGGCGCGCUUCCAGCGAGGUCGAUCCCGAGUGCUCCAGGAGCCCGUGUGAUCGUCCACGUCGUCGCCGGCUUACCCCGAUGGAUCGCCGGUACGCUCUGUUCCAUCUCCUCCCACCCCCCAUGGCCCAUCCCCCCAUGCACACGGCCAAGACCCCACCCAUUGGCAGAUGAUCCCCGCCCGCUAAGGUUCGUUCUCCGUAGCCGCGAUCUGAUCUGGAAUUGCCUGACACGAUUUGAUCCUUUUCAAUCGAUCAACCAUUUGGGAAGCAGGGAGUUCCUAGUUCAGAUCUAUUGGAAAUUUAUCGUAUGCUUAGCUCACUUCAGGCUUAGCAGAUACUCCAAAUGUUGUAACCAAGCUGGUCUUAGAGUUUGCGUCAUGGAGUACUUUGUACUGUUUGGUGACCUGUGGUUGCUUUCCUAGCGCGUCCCCUCUCGAUUAGGAUUGGGAACCUAUGAAUCAUCGGGCAUCUCUGGACGAAACAUCGAAGAUAGGGACGCACCCUUGCCUGAUUCGUGCCGCCCGGAUGUCAUUUGACAGUUCGCUGGUUCCCCCUCAGCAGUCUCCUUAGAGGCAGGAUUAUGAAUGAAUUUCCCCAGCUGCUAUGAUUGCUAUUAGCAUGGAGUCAGAGCAGUGAUUGAUGUUUCUGAUAUUAUUAUGCACAUACACCUAAUUUGUUAACAAGAUCAGAUGUGCUCUUGUCUUGGGUGUGCCUCACAUUUUCCUUUCAUUUGUUCCUAAUGUACCAUUGGGGCGCUCCCGGUGCAUUGCAUAUAAUAGAGGUAUAGAUACAGCUUUCUCAAUGGGUUGUGCCUUUGUGUUGUAUUUACAAGCCUCUAUUGUUGCAUAUGAUCAGAAGUAGCAUAUUGUUUUUGUGGCCAGCCAACUUGUGGAACAUGUGAAAUAGAAUAAAUAGGUUGAACUACUAGCAAGGCUUGCCAAUACACAGUUCUCUGCAAAAAUAAUAGAAAUGAACGCCUGGCAGGUACAACACCUCACCCUAAGUUCACUUAACAUUCAUGGGCAAAUAGAAAAAACUUACUGCUGAAUAAACAUAAGAGGCCAAAAGCAAGCAGAUACUGCAUUUAAAUCCAAAUUUGUACUGUCAUUGCGGUGAGGAACAUGUAAACCUGCAAUGCAAAAGACAGGGAUACACAGAGUGUAUGAAUCAGCUGAGAUUAUCUCUACUGUUGUUAUACGCUGCACAUGUAGCUACGAUAUCAUUUAACGGUAGUAUCACAUAAACUUGCUUCUAGUGUUUGUCCGAAAGCUGCUCCAUGUCCCCGACUGCCAGCCAUACCUGAACAAAAGUAACACCUUAAUCUCAGCGCACAUCACCGGAGACGGAAAACUAUGGUGCUCAAGAUGAGCAGGCAGUGCCGCACCCUCACUGGCGAAAGAACCCUGACCGGUGUUGGAGCAGCCCGUUCAGAUCCGCUGGAGGGCAGCAACCUCCGACGCCAGAGCAGGAUGCUAUCUGAGGGCAGCGGUGGUGUCUCCCCUGUCGGUUGCCACAACAGAAAGAAACUAGACAGAGAACACAAUCGCUGAAAUUGUACGGGAGCAGGGGCAAGGUUAGAGGAAGAAAGAUGGCAAACGGGAGCUUUGUUUUGGAGGUAGAGGCGCAGGGGAUGCAUCCAGCACUAAAUUGGCCCACAUAGGCAUCGUUUUUUCCCCCAUUUAGUAGUAUCUCUUUUAAAAUACGGGUUCCCCCUCUCUCUUCUUUAAUUAAUCUUCCGCAUCAUAUUCAGUCUUAUGUGGCAUCGUCGAGAUACUGACAGUGGAAGCAAUGGAAGUGCUCUUAGCAUGCAUUUCCUAGAUACAGAAGUCUGUGUACAGUACAAUAUUGUUAGUAAAGCCACCAUUUAGGAGUUAAUAAUAAAUCACCCAUAACUGUAUAUAUUGCAUAUUUGGAAAAUCUGCCGUGCUGUGGUUAUCAUUCUACAGAUGAGAUGGCAGUGCAGACUACCCCACUGAACAUGUCUUAGGGUUUACUUUACAACCCUCUGUUUUGGUUCCUAGUUUCACCCACAAACUCUAAAACCCGUUUGCAAUAACAACCUUCACACGAAUUAACCGAUUUAACCAGUUCUAUAGAUGUAUCAGUCAAGUGUGCUUCCCCUACUUACUGAUAAUUUGAUGUCAGUUCUGAUUUACCAUACCUUUGUUUCAGUCUUUGAUGUUACUGAUACUAGUUAUGUGUGUGCCUUAACCUUAUCCUUUGUCUCUGGUGCCCUGCCCUCUUUGAAGCUAGGACAUGGAUGUGGGUACCCCUAUGUAUCAAAAAUUGUGUAUGGAAACCAAGAAUGGUCAUAUAGCGAAGUGGAUAUCGCGUUAGAUUCCGAAUCUAUAGGUCGUGGGUUCGAAUCCCACUAUGAUCAAUUUUGUCUUGGGUUUUUGCACAGGAAAUUUCGCCUUGGCCUUUUGUUUUGUUUCUUGUGUUUUUCAGCAGACAGUGACAUAGUGGCAGCGCCCACAAGGUAUUCAAGGUUCUUGUGAACAUGAUUGGUCCCAAGGCCCCAGCUUCCUGCCAAGAGUAUUGUCACAGAGUGCAGAAUUUCGCCGGUGCUCAUGCAUCCCUAUCAGCCAUUUUUACCCCAAAUGGCUUAUCCAUUUGCUUCAUGUAACCCUUUGGUGACUGUUGCUGUAAAUGUAAUUUGUCCUACUUGUUGGGGAUGUGACCAUUCCAUCCCAGGGAAGACUUGGUUGGCAAUUGGCCAUCAUUAUCCAGAACACGCGGUCAAGAUGUUGUUGUUUAUGAAGUUGAUUUUGUGUAUUUCAUGUAGUACAGAGAUUGGAUUGGUUUUAGCACAGUUAAGUCGAACAUUUUCCAUAGAAUAAGUUGUACAUAAUAUCCAGUUAUCUUGCAGAUGUGUCUGCUGUCUUGCCAGUUUUGCUGGAUUUUUAUGAAAGCAAUGUUUGAACAAAAAUGUACUAUGGCUUGUCGUGAGCAAUUUGGCCAAGUUCAGUUCAAAUUGAAAGAGGGCUGAUCUAUAUUAUUCAGUUCAGGUUCAACCAUAGUAUCGUUCCGAUGUAAUUUGAAUGAAUCCGCACACGAUGAUAAGACACUAAGCGCAGGUUUGUUGCACCUGUACCCUUUUUUUACGUGGAGUUGCACCUGUGCCGUCGGUGGAACGAUUUCAGUUCCAUGAUAAUAUUAUCUUCUAUAUACUCCCUCCGUUCUGAUAAAUAAGGCAUAUCUCAUUUCGUUAAUACAAGACUUUGACCAACAAUUACUUCUAAAAUUUAAUUUAUGUGAUACAAAAUCACAAUCAUAACAAAGUACUUUUAAAAAUGAAUCUAGUAGCACAAAUUUCUUGUCAAGCUUGUAUUUAAGUGUCAAAAAACGUCUUAUAUUAUGGAACGGAGGGAGUAUGUCUUAACGAAACAAAAUACGACUUACUUUUAGGAAUGGAGGUAGUAAACUGGUAGGUCAAACAAUUUUAAUCGCUUCCAGAUGAGAGCAGACUUCAACAUUAGCUGAUCAGGCAGGUGUCCGUUUAUAUCAGGUUCGUUAAAGAAUUAUGGUAAGUAGCAGCUCUCCCAAGUUUCUCAAUAUUGAUAGCCGAAGCCACACAAUUACAACAACCAGACCCUUAGAAUAUGCGUUGCGUUUUCAGAGUCAAAACCAAGACCUCCACAGGAGACAGGCUAAUGGAAAAUAUACAGGGGAGAAGUGAAAUUGCUAGUGUCGGAUGGACAUUUGGAGAUCGACAGCAAAACCCUCCACACCUGAAAUGGCAUGGCUAACUUCCCCAGUACUCCCAUUUUAUUCAG